CACAUCCACGUGUAGGAGCAAAUCAUGUACAUAGGUAUCUACAAGGCCAGUGAGGAUGCUACGACUUUGGCCUUCCUCAACCGGUUGGAAGCGUUGGAUGCCUUUGCUGAGAAGCACCUCGACCUCACCACAAAAGCCGCCGCUCCUUAGCCGCCGGUCGGUGGCCCAGCGCACUAAGUUGAGGAGGAGGAGGUCGUACGUUCGUGGAUCCAUCUUUCUUCUUGCCUUCUGUAACCACCACUGCGAUCGCAUCAUCGUGGCCUUAAUUCUUAUUGUGCUAUCGCAUUCUCGUUCCAGUCAAUAACGACAUGUGCGAUCCCUUUGCUUAAUUAUAUGCAUCACUGUAACUAGUACUCCAUCCAUCAAUUUAUAAGUUGUGCUUACCUUUUCCAUCAACUUCGUGCAACGCGCGGGCAUCUUGCUAGAAACACUAGAAUAUGUCUAUAUAAUCCGUAUGUGAUAGUCCAUUUGAAAUCUCAAAAAAGACAAAUAUUUAGGUACGGAGGGAGUAAUAUAUUAGGAGUAUAUCAAAACAAUAGUGAUUUCUUUCAAGUUUGUGAACAAACACUACUAUUCUACUACUUUGGAUCCGUCGCAACGCACGGGCACAUUGUUGGUAAAAGGAAAAGGCCUGCCGCAUUCGCGUCGCACCCCCACACGCCCGGGAAUCGGGAGUACAACACGGCCCGUCCGGCACGACAAAUAGCUUAGGGAAGGCGUGUUGCCUAGCAUUUUCACUUUCAUGUGGGACCGCCUUGAGCAAACCGACACCUCGCCCGCUGCCGGGUUGGAAAACAAAAACGAGGGGAAGAUCUAGCUGUAGCAUGGAAGCCAAGAAUUUGGUGUCAUACGGGGCUCGUUGAUAGAGUAGGAGCAUUUCGUACUAGUACUACUCCUACUAGUACCAAGUUUGUACUCCUAGUACUAUAUUACUAGCACUACCACUAUAUAAUUAGUAGGUACGUGCACGGCACAACAUCGUAGGAACAAAAAACGGGAAGAUCUUGUUUUGGGUGAUUUAUCUUUUUUUCAAUCAACGUAGUAUGAAUAAUAUGAUGUGGGCGCACCCAUGAAGCUUAUGUGGCUUGGUUGCAUGGCUACGGAAGGUUAGAGAAAAAUAAAUAGAUAAUGUGUUUAGAGUGCACUCCACUAAAUAGAUAUACUUUGGAUCCAUUGCAACGGACCGGCACAUCUAUAUCUAUGCCCCCUAUAUAGUGUGUGAAAAACUUUGAAAGUUGGUCGUUGGAUGAAGCCAAUCCGACGGUACAAAGAUGGCAAAUCCGAGCACUACUGGCUGUUGGAUAUCAUCCACCAGAUUCUGCCACAUGUAUAAUCUAGAAGACUCCAUGGUUCAACUUAAUUCAUGACUAACUUUGCAACAACUAAGCUUAGGCAAAGUUAUUAGUUCUUCAAAAUGAGAGCCACAAGUUGGCAAGCCUAAGGGAAUCUUGCCACAUUUUUUCUGUGUAUGUCAUGUGGGGCCUUAGUGUGGCUUGCCUAAGGUGUGUCUUGAACCAAACACUCACCUAAGUUAAUCAAACUUGCCUAACCUUACAUUCCACCAGAUUUUGCCACCUAAGUUAAUCCAGAAAGCUCCACAUGUAGAAGCAUAAUGCACAAACCACCAGAAUCUCAUGCGUGCAAUGCACGUGUACCUUACUAGUACUAGUUGGUAGUAGUAAGAAACAAAUUCUAGUUUUGGCACGAGCUCAUACUGUGGGAGCACCACAAGGCCUGCCCGGGAGUUACAUUUCCCUCUCGGAGCCCACGGGACCGAACUUCAGUGGCUUCAUGCCCGGCCUAUGAGUCAAUGACAUGCGGACCUUAAAUGCGGUUGGCCCACAUGUCAUUCUCAUGGUGGUGGCGUGGUUCGCGACUCACUCGUUCGAGAUGAACCGGCCGAUGGUGGCGUGGCCGUGGUGAGGGUGCCACAGCUGGGCGUUGGGGCGUUACAAGGCGUAGAUGGCCACACCGGCGGGUACUACCUAUAGUACAUAAGUACUCCAACUGAGGAUUGAUGCCCGGGACGAAAUGUGUCACAGCCGCUGGAUGAAAAUUCAAUGGUGUGGGAGUACGGAUCGGAGCACAACAGCGGAGCAGGCAAACCGCAUCCAAUCGGGUGUGUCUGUGGUAGAAAGUUGAUGGUCGCCGCAGUUCAGCUGGCCCGCAUGUCAUGCACACAAAGGCAGAGGAGCAGUGGGCCGAGAGGGAUGAGGGGCACGUCGGGGGGAUGAGGAUCCCCUGACGCGAACAAUCCUACCAUUUUGUCACUGACAUGUGGGACCCAUAAGCGUGGGUCCCACCUGUCAGCGAAGGAAAGGCAGGGCAAGGUAGCGAUAGCCAUGUCAGAGGAUCCAUGUCCACGUCGGGGGACGUCGUGUCGUGGGUUGGAUCGGCGUCGUGGGAAUCGCGUGUAAGUGUGGCAGUGGUAGAAACAAGAAACGUGAUGGUCGCCAUGGUUCAACUUCCAUGGACAAGCUAUCAUGUCUGCUGACACAUGUAUAUCAAAACUAGAGUGCUUAUAUUUCAAGCACGUGAACAAGUAUUAUUCUACUACUUUGGAUCCAUUGCAACGCACGGGCUAGCACAUUGGUAGUAGUAGUGUCCAUCUCUAUCUCUAGAGGCCUUCCCUCAUUCAUCCUUUUCUCUCACAAGAUAAACUACUCAUACAAAUGCAUCUUUAUGUUCCAUGGAACGCACGAGGAUGUUUCCUUGGGGGUCUCUCCAGCGCGGCGUGGCCGUAGUUGCAAGUUGACGCCCCUUGAGAUGCCCAUGUUGAGGGGCACUCGGAUUUCCUCCGAUGAGCAGGUAAGAUGAGUUUGAUCACGUAGUAAAUGCAUUCUAAAGACUACUUCCGUGUCCAUUUCCUAAUUCUCCCACUGCCCACUGUUUCACAGGUUAGGCUCGGUGCGAGUGGAGAUUGGCUUGCAUAUGUACGGGAGGGUACCAACAUCAAUUUGCACAACAUUUACAAUGGUGACACUGUUCCCGUAGAACCUUUGUCCAACAUUGGGAUCAGCCAUGCAACGGGCCACCGCAUGAAUUGGUACGAUGGAACCACGGUGAGAUUGAAUAAGAUAGCACGAACCUUGCACAUGGCGGUCAAAGGCGGACCAUGCUGUCUGCGACCGAUUUGUUGCCGUACGAGUAAGAAGACGCUGUGCUCCUUUCUAACCGCAUCUUCGCGGUGACAAACCAUGGGACUUAUUUUGUAUGGGACACAUCCUAUGAUAUACUCCCUCUCUCCCAGUUUAUUUGUUUUGAAUCUUUUCGUUUUAUAAGUUUCAAAUUCAAAUUUAGAGCUCCCCAUCACAUGUUGAGAUUACAAUGUCCAAUAAAUCGUUGUGUGCAUGUAUAGUAAAGAAACAAAUCUUGAGUUUGGCACGAGUUCGUGCUGCGGGAGCACCACAAGCCCUGGCGCAGGAGUUACAUUACCCUCUCAGGGCCGUCGGGACUGAGCUUCAGUGCCUUACUACACCUACCUUUGAGUCAAUAACAUGUCGACCCGAUAGGUGACUGGUCCACAUGUAAUGCUCCCGUAGGCAGAGGGGCAGUGGGGCCAAGAGGGGUGAGCCGCAGGUCGGGGGACAUGUGGUUUCAUGGGUUCGAGCGGCACCGUGGGAAACGCGCGUGGCUGUGGUAGAAACUUGAUGCUUGCCGCAUUUUAGGUGGCCCACAUGUCAUGCACACAAAGGCAGAGGGGCAGUGCGGCCGAGAGGGGUGAGGCGCACGUCGGGGGGCGUGGUGCCGUGGGUUGGAGAGGCGUCGUGGGAAUCGCGAGAUGAAAUGUGAUGGUCGCCGUAGUUGAACUUCCAUGGACAAUUUGUCAUGUCUACAGACACAUGCACUGCAUACCGAUCACUGGAAGGAGUAACAGAGAAAGCUAUAUAUGCAGAUAAAUAGUUCCUUAUAGUCAAGCGGACCCAUGCUACUACUCUAUUCCAAAGACAUGCACACCAUCGAAAUAGUCCAUCUAUAUCAAUAUACACCGAGAGGGAAUAAUUUUUUUACAAGAGAGGAAAUAGUUCAUCCAUCCAUAAUGCCCUCCUGCUGGUGCAGCCUUUUCUUCUUCUUCUUCUUCUUCUUCUUCUUCUUCUUCUUCUUCUUCUUCUUCUUCUUCUUCUUCUUCUUCUUCUUCUUCUUCUUCUCAUUCUCUGUGGAAGACGGCUUCGCAACAAGCUCUUUGGACCUUGCAGCUAUCUCGAAACUCACACGGGCAUCGAGGGCAGCAUAUUUUAUCUGCUCGUACAUCAAGGGAUAAUUCUCCCAUCCAGACGACCUUAAUGCCACCGUCUCGUCACCCUUCUGAAGAUUUGUACCGAGCACAAAAUUUGCUACGUCGAAUAGGGAUGGUGUCUGUUUAUCACAAUCUUCUACAGGAAUUUUCAUUCUGGUUUGUAGGUCAGCGAUGCUUUUCAAAUCAAGGUUGUACGGCUCCAGCUUCUGUUUGUCCCCUUCGAUGGUUGCCCCACAGAAGUAUACAUCCUCCCGAGACAAGAAAUUGUGAAGCUCACCUGGUAUGGAGGGCGAGUGUAUGAUGUGGUACACCAAAACAUCAUCUUCGUGGCACAGCUGAAGGACAGCGGCGCGCUGGAUCUUCCCAGGGGCAUGCUCCGUGUACUCUGCGUCGAGACUGAUGACCCUCGUCUCUACCUUUUCGAGGGAGUUGGAUACAUUGUUGAUCCACUGCCGAACAACCCUUGGGUGGACGGUGACGGUGGCAACUAUGCGCAUCGAGCCUUCGAUGAGGACAUGUUGGAUGCUAAAAACCUGCAUCUCGACCUCUUCCGCCAUUUGGAACCACUGGAACGGAGGGCUAUGGUUUGGAGAAUUAGGAUUAGAUGGCUAAUCUAACUGAAGUAGUAGAUGAUUAUUUAAAGAGGUUAAAACAAUGUGAACGUAGUGGGGUUUGGAUGCAAAUGAAGACGAAGGGGAAGUGAAGAAGCCGAGGAGAAUCGGUUCCUGAUGGAGAAGUAAAUGGGAGAAGUGGCGUGCAGGCAGUUGAUUAGACGGCUAGGUAGACUAAACGAAAAGGCUAUGCGGGUAGACUGAUGAGUCGUACCUGUUCGUGUACGUGCCCAUCCUUCCUGAUAGAUGGGACCUAUGCAAACAGAUAAAAAAUGUGUCGUAGUUUUUUUUAGCGCGUGAGUGGGAGACACAACAUUCUCUGGUUAAGGAAUACUCCAUCCAUUUAGGUGAGUAUAAGUCACCUUAUGAAAAUCAGGUUUUCCCAAAACCUUUAGGCGUGGAGCAUUAACUUCCUGCUCGAUCCCCUCCCAGCCUCGUUAGCCAGCGUUCUCUUCCUUUGCUGCUGUGUUCUACCUUUCCAUUUUUCCUCUUCUCAAGUGUGGAACGAUCUGCAUGCCGUCCUUGAUGCACCAGAACGACCACUGCAUGCAUCGCGACAGGGCGUUGAUUGGGCAUGCACGAGAAUUUGGUUAGUCCUGCCUUCGGUCGCUGCGUGUUGUCGCUCAACAGUGGCAUGGAGGCGCUUGACGACCAGUUUGCCGGCAAAGUGCUGAUGGUAACCAUCAACGGCGACCGGCCUCCCGUCUCGCCGGACGACCUUGUCAAAGCUCUUGGCAUUGCGCAUGGCAUCCAAAUAAGUGACUUGCUCGUCGAAGUCUGUCCGCCACCGGCUGAUUUCUUCGUCAGGUUCUGGACAACUUUCGACUGCAACCGUGUAUUCAAAUCUUCCCGGCGUUUGUUCUGCGAUGGAGUGCUAGUGAGCUUUGAUCGGUGGCACCCAGGAUGGGGCUUGGUGCCCUCUGAGCUUGAGUUUUUAACAAAGCUUAACUUCCAUGGCAUGCCUCGAUGUGCUUGGAACAGCGAGUCCAUGAACGGGCUUAUCAACGACCUUGGAGGUGAGCUCGUAAGUAUGUUUGUUCCUCCAGACAGUUGGGCUCUAACGAUUAUGGCAUGGAUGAAGAAGCCGUCCACCAUACCGAAGGUGAUUGGUGUUGAGAUACCGGUGCAGGAACCGAGUUGUACUAUUCAUCGCCACCAAGGCCGUCGCGGACCACGUUAGGGAUGUACCUGUAUCGAGUGUUCGUGCAUGUCGAAGAAGUGGUCAAUCCAUCAAUCGAAGUCCUGUCGCCGCCGCUGGGGCCAGUGUCCGUCGACGACGUCCAUUACAGGAGUCAAUGUCAAACUUUCCCCGUGUUGCUCGGAAUGAUGGAUGGCACAGGGCCUACUCCAUCGCGCGGCGGAGGCCACUGCUUCUUUGGGAGAAGAGGCAGGGUUGGCUGCCUGGAUGUGCUCUAAUUUAAUGUAACAACUGAAUCUUGUCAGAUACUAGUUAAAUCCGAGCUAUGGGUGUGAAGAACUGAUAUGCCAGUACAUUUGAUUGUGACAUGUUCUAAUUUUGUACCUGAACUUUUUUUAGAAAGGGCUGUACGUCAACUUAAUGUGCUAGCAGAACUUAUUGUGUUGUCUAUCUGUUUUUUUGCACAACAUUCAAGAUAUUUCCCCGUCAUUGAUAAAGAUGAUGAACCGUUAUGUACGACUUCGUUGGUUUCAACAUAGCCCUUCCCGUAGUGAUCCACUGCUUCCAUCCUGAUUGUGCCGCAUGUAUGAGUUUUUUGUAUGCAAGUUCAGUGUGCUAUGAUGUUCUAUAUGAUUGUGUCAACUAUAUAAGUUUUUACUGAGCAUCAGCAAUGCAUAUGGUUGAAAGAUGUAUUUACGAGCAUCGACCGAUGGGUCUCUCUCUCUCUCUCUCUCUCUCACACACACACACACACGCACACACACACACGCACACGCACACGCACAAGUGGGACCCGUUGAAUUAUUUAUUUGCUCGUGAGAACUUUUAAUUACGUUCCACUGUAAUCUUACUUUUUUUCUUAAGUUAUUAGUUGAGCUCAGUGACUUCAAAAAGUUGUACAGAAGCCUUGUUUGGGCCUUUCCGGCGUCGCUGAAUGUGGGCUGAGUAACCAUGUUAGGUUGUGUUGUACUACACAGGCCUUUUUUUUCAACAUCAGCAAUGCAACUGGUUGGACAGUUGUACACAAUAUUCGGGUCAACUUGUUAUUCUCCGCCCCGCUGGGCAGCAAACUUUCCUAGGAGGUAUGCAUUAGGCUUAACAAGAAAAUGGACUUUAAGAAAUAAUAAAUGGGAUGUAAUUAUAAUAACUGGACAGUUACUAUGCACCAAACACGUAAUUAGUUUGGAAAAUAUAUUAUUUUUGGAAUUUGAAAAUUUUAAUUUCAUUACUUGUUGCACGCGCAAUAUUUCGUUGGAUUUUAACGUAAUACAACUUUAUUUUGAAAUUAUAUUUAACCUGACUAGAAAUUUUGGAUAAAAAUAUUUCGGAUCCCAUCAAAAUGUGGGAAUUUUUUUUUUGAAUUCUGUUUUGAGCAGUUGUUUGAAAUUAUUAAUCGUUGCCCUAGCUAGAAGUUGUGUUGUACUUUUAACAAACUGUAAAUGGGCUGUAGUAAAUUCCAUUAGAAUUAAAAAAUGGGAUGUACAUUCUUACAAAUCGCAAAUGGGCUAUAUGUUCUCUGCCAAAUCCGAGCUGUGGGCCUACUAAGUUGACGCGUACCAAGGGCUUUGUCAACUUAGUCAAUAUAAAUGAUUCUAGCUGCAGUGAUCGUACGAUGUCCAUCCAACAGUCAUAGUGCUUCUUCAACCUCUGGUCUUCUUGCUCCAGCCGCCCAAAGCAUCGUCGGUCGUGUCGCGUGCUCCUCCCUCCCGUGGUCGGCUAUGAUGUCGCGGAGGCCUCACCGCCCCGUACUACUCCCACCGCUGGCUAGGCCAUCCCUCUACUCACCCACACCCCAUGUUAUUCUGCGGCGACGACAACCUCACACCGCAGCCGAACCAGUGAACCCUCGUACCCCUCUCCGUGCGGGCUUCCACUGCUGCGUCUUCCCCGGCUCCGUGUCGUCUCCUUCCUAGGCAUCGCUGUCGUUCAGACAACCGCCCUGGUGCUCUCGGCGCGGCGUGGUCAACGACCGACUUCCAUCGGAAGAGUACUGUACGUGGAGAGGCUGACAGUUGGGUCCAGGCGGCCGCAAGGAAGUGCCUCCUUAUUACGCGCAAAAUAAUUAUUCCUCCACCUGACAGCAGGGACCCACCGGACAGGCCACCUUAUUUCACAAAAAAAGUUUCACCCCUGACUGUUGGGACCCACCGGACAGGUCAGCGUAUUUCGCGAAAAAAACGUUCCCCCCGUUGUCAGCUCGGACCCACCGGAAGUGCCUCCUUAUUACGCACAAAAAAAUGAAUACUCCCCCUGCUAGUUGGGACCCACCAUGGUGGGAGGCGGACUUGUGGGCCUACUAAGUUGACUGGGACGGGGGCCUUUGUCAACUUUAGUCAAUAUGAACGAUUCUAGCUUCAGUGACCGUACGAUGUCCAUCCAACGCCCGUAGUGCUUCUUCAACCUCUGGUCUUCUUGCUCCAGCCGCCCAAAGCAGCGCCGGUCGUGCCGCAUGCUCCUGCCUCCCGUGGGCGGCUGUGCUGCCGCGGAGGCCUCACCGGCCCCUACUAUUCCCACCGCUGGCCAGGCCCUGCGGCGACGACAGCCUCACACCGCAGCCGAACCAGUGAACCCUCGUACUCCUCUCCGCGCGGGCUUCCACUACCACGCCUUCCCCGGCUCCCCAUCAUCCCCUUCCUAGGCCUCGCCAUCGUCCACCGCCCUGGUGCUCUCGGCAUGGCAUGGUCAACGUGGUCAAGGAACGACUUCCAUCGGACAUGGACUGUACGUGGAGAGGCUGACAGCUGGGACCCACCGGACGGGUCAUAGUAUUUCGCGAAAAAAACGUUUGCCCCUGACUGCUGGGACCCACCAGCUACAUCUUCGCACGCAAGGAAGUGUGUCCGGGCAAAAAAACGAUUCGCCCCCUGACUGCUGGGACCCACCAGCUACAUCUUUGCAGGCAAGGAAGUGCCUGACAGUCGGGACCCACCUGGUCGAAGCGUACGUAGCGUUGUCAUUCUGGUCGCGAACGUGUACGUACAUAUAUACUGGUGGAUGUAGAGGCACGCACGUGUCGUAGUAGAGGUGCGUACGUGUCGUAGUAGAGGUGCGCACAUAGCAUGUACACGUACGUACAGCGGCCAGGGUGCAAGAAAGAAAAUACAGCCAUGUAUGUGUACAUACGAGCGGGGUCUCGAACGCCUACUCGCGCAUACAUACGGCCAGGGCUCAUGUACAUGGGUGGGUCGGAACGGAGAAACAACGUCGUCGUCGUGUUCAUGGGGAGGCAACAGAAUGCGUCGUGUUCAUGGGGAGGCAACGGAAUGCGUCGUGUUCAUCGGGAGGCAACAGAACGCGUGGGAGCCAACCGACUGGGUUGGAACGGAAUGCGUGGUCGUGUUCACCGGGAGGGCUUGGAUGGAACAGGCGAUGGAAACGAGGCCUGGUGUACCGCAAAAUGGAGGAAACGGCCUUGUGUUCAACCGGCCACGUUCGAAACGGGAUCAUGUUCAUCUGGAGGGGUCUGGCGUACCGCAAAAUGGAGGAAACGGACCUUCUACGGUCGAAACGGGGGUCCUGUUGAUCGGGAGGGGUGUGGCGUACCGCAAAACGGAGGAAACAAACUUGUGUUGGAGCGCUACGGUCGAAACGGGGGUCCUGUUCAAUGGGAGGGGUGUGGCGUACCGCAAAACGGGACUCCACGGGAUACUGUUCAUCUCCACCGUCGACCUCCUCCAGCCUCCACGGGCUACCGUCGACCUCCUCCAGCCUCCACAGGCUCCUAUUCAUCAAACCUCCACCGCGCGCUACUCCACCGGCUACUAUUCAACAACCCCUCCAUGAGCACCCCUCCAUCGUCUACUAUUCAUCCAGCCCUCCACACCACGGGGUCAUGUUCAACCACCCCUCCACAGGCACCCCUCCACCGUCUACUGUUCAUCCAACCCUCCACCACACCACGGGGUCCUGUUCAUCCAGAGGCAACGCCACCGCUCACUGUUCAUCCAAACACCACCGCAACGCUCACUGUUCAUCCCAGAGGCAGCGUCGAUCGGCUUCAGUUAGCAGCUGCAGCAAAGGAAUCGCUCGAUCGGGUUCAGUUAACAACCAUCGAUCGAUCGCUCGGGUUCAGUAACGAGUAGCCUGCAGUGCAAUCGGUCGGGUUCAGUUAGAGCACAACGCCUCGCUCGGGUUCAGUUAGAGCCAACGCCUCACACACACGCGCGUACAUGUACGAGAGAAACGCGCAUCGCUCGGCCCCCAACCUACCACCGUAACCGGGAACUCCCCGAAAUUUUCCUCCCCCUCGCUUCUACCACGAUUUUUCCGUCAUGGACGGCCCAAAGAAUGUCAUGCAGCUACGUCUCCGGCCCGCCCAGGACGAAAAGCCCAUUUUCUGUCAUGAUUUUUUGUCAUAGUAGUAGGAGCCCACCACAUCUAUGAUGAUACCGGGUUUUGUUACAAUUAUCGUCAUAGAAGUGUCAUAUGUAUGACAGAAAAAAAAUUCGUUCGGCCCAAAAUGUCACGGAUGUGUCUUUUUUUGUAGUGAUUCUAGCAAUAUGUCAUGGUUCAAACAUCAUGUAACAAUGAGAGGAAAACAGCUAUGACAGAGCCUACUCAUAUUCUACCAUAGCACUUGCUACUACUAUUCUCAUAUCAACUCUAAGCAAUAACAUGUGUUGUUACAAAAAUCUUGGAAAUGAGAGUAACAUAUAGCAAUCAUGAUGUUAUGCUCAUAAUAUCUAUUCUAAUAAUCAUUAGAUGCCAAUUAUUCUCAUAUCAACUCUAACAAUAACAUGUGUGGUCAUAAAAAUCUAGGAAAUGAGAGGAACAUAUAGCAAUGAUGUGGUUAUAGACAUACUAUCUAUUCUAAAUUUGUAACAAUGAACAGACAGUCGUAUUCAUAAGGUAAACAUGAGAUGAGAUAAAACAAUUACACGAUGAUAGAUCCCACCAGUAUAGGCAGCCAAUCUGUGCGUCGACCGCGUAAAUGAUGCCAUCAUGCACUAUAGCAUCAGACAGAAAUGUUGCCUCAACAGGAUUGACGAUGAGCCAUAACCAUGUAUGGCGACCGGAUUCCAGAUAGACUAAUCCCAUGUUGAACAAUGCAAUCAGCUUGUAAUCCAUGUAGUCUUCUGAUGGUGUGGGCACUUCACAGAUUAAUACUUUCAGCAAACAGAGGUUGAGCCAAAAGCUUGACGCCCAAAAGUAGCAUAGUAGGCAGGAGUGUCCGGCGGGCCGCGAGGCUCGAUGGCAGCGUUAUCCAACGAUUGAAGGGUGAUCUCUCGUUGGGUGUAGAUAUCCACGAGAUGCCACGGACUACCGGAUUGGUGGAUGAUGACGAUCCAGUUGGCCUUCAUGCCCGCCCAGUAGUGGCCGCACAUGAAGGACAAGUGGACGGGUAGUGGUAGCAUGUCGAGGGGCACCACGGCAACCUUCGUAGGAUCGUCAAGUUGGUGUCUGGGCCACCUGCGAGGAUCGGGCAUCAGCAAGCAGGGUGUCUUGAAAAGAGCCGGCCGGUUGCAGACGAGUAGACGGUACAAAGACAUCGAGCAUGCGGCCAGACGGACGGUGCUGAGUAGGUCCAUACGAUUAUAGAUCUGCUCCAAGAGAACAUCAUGGAGGGAAUUCCAAUCGCGGAUCUGCGUGUCAGUCGGUUCUGCCAUUGGGGUUUUCGGUGCCUGCGAGCCAGCAGGGAAGUGGAUUUGGGCGUGCAAGCGAAUAAGUUUCUCCUCGUGUGGCCCAGCAGUGAGCGGGGGGGUAUGGUACGUGCAAGCUACCAAGGAAUAUAGCGCGGGCGGGUGAGCAGUGAGCAGGGGGAAAUGGUGUGCGGCCGACGAUGGGGAAGAGAGGAGGAAGAAGAAGAGAGGAGGAAGAAGAGUCUAAGACGGGGAAGAAAGUGCAUUAAAUCUCAAUUCUACUACUACUACCAGGAUAUACCAUCCUUCGGAGUGUAAAUAGUUACACCAAUGACAUGUGGGUCUACCACAAGAGGGCCCAUAUGUCAGUUAACGGAGGACAGAAGCAUGCUCUACGGGCAAACAUGAUGGCAGUACUGGGUAAGGCUAAUUUAGUAACACCAACACGCUGGUUCAGCUUAUUAAUUAAGUGUCCCAUAUGUUGUAGCGUGUAUUGCCACUUCACUGCGUAGACUAGUUGAAUAGUUCUCUCUGACCGAGAUGGGGAAUAAUGGAUCACAAUGACUUCCUUUCUAGUUAUCCCUAUGCCUCUACGCUCACUUCACUCAUUUUGCUCCGUACGCAGUCACUUGUUGAAAUCUGUAAUAAGAUAAAUACUCCGUAUUUGGGAAUAGAGGGAGGAUUUUACUCCGUAUUUGGGAACAGAGGGAGUAUCACCGUAUGGAGGGAAUAGAGGAAGCUUGAAAUAUGAACAUGUCAGUGGGAGGGAGUAAGCCCCAUGCAUGCAUGCAACAUGCAGCACUCACACAUACACAUGGACGCACGCAACACUCAUGCACCCAUGCGGCACAUAGCACACGACGCAACACACACGCUCAUGCUCAAGUGCUCAACCUACUCCCUACGUCCGUGAAAGACUGUACAUUUAGAGAUUUACACAUUGACCAGGGCAUAAUUAAUGCCCAAAAGUAGCAGACUUAUGUGUGCAUGCGACCAUUGAGAGAAGAAGAUUAAUUGAAGGUCGUUGCAUGCUGUAAUUAAGGAUAGACAUGUAGCGUAUACCUAGAGCACAAGUUAGUGCAUUAGUCAAUCAGUAUCGAUUUAGAUUAAAGGCUAAAUGCAUUGGAAGUGUAGAUGUACUACACUCUUUGUUUUUAGCCGACGUACACUCUUUGUUGGAAGACCGAGGGAGUACACGUGCAUGCACUCACAUACACAGCCAGGGUGGUUCGCGCGCAAGGGUUGGACUCUUGUCGCGCCUGCAUAAAGUUUUGUUUAACUGAUUUCUUUGCUCUACCAACUGACAGGUGGGACCCAGAAACCAGGUGACAAUUUAACCAGUCAACAAAGUGCCACGUCGACUAUGUGGCCGGUCAGUAGGGUGCAAUACGGUGCUCUACGAUGAGCUAGUGAUUGUAUAAUCACCGCAAAACUAUAUAUAGUGACCAUAAAGAGCGUAUUGUUACAUACUUUGACCGCCAGUGUAUUUUUCUCAUUUCAAAUUAAGCCAUAUUAACCGGAAAGGACGCAGUAUGGACUAGUACUAGUACUACUUUGAUGUGUCCCGUCAACUCGCCGAACAAGGAGAAGCUUGCUUACUACGCCUCUCCAUCGCCCACGCACGUGGUGGUUCAUAGGACGAGGAGAGGGUUUUGACUACAGCGCCCUCUCCCUCUCCCUCGCCCUUGCCCUCGCGGUGGACGUGCAUCAGUUCAAUCGGUGUCAGAUUUCCAGAAGCAUAAUGUAAUGUAGUAUCAUCAUUGUUGGACCUUCCGAAGAGGCUAAGAGCCAAGUGCAAGGUUCACACGAGUACGAACUGUUGAACCUCCUGAAGAGGCAAAGAGCCAAGCGCAAGGUUUUAUAGGAGUUUUUGUCCUAGUAGGAGUGUACUACAACUAUAGCGAACGAUGCUACUGUAUGAUGCCGCCAUGUCACGUAUAUCCAAUGUUGUGCCACUUUUUUUUCUCAAAGAGCGUGUUGGAGCCCGUGCAACAACCACACAAGUUGCACGUACACAUAACACAUUUACUAGUAAUAAAUUCUAAAGGACAAAUGCCAGUAUGACACACAAGUUCAUCUCCAAUUCAUGUGAUAAAUUUGUGCACGACCAGUCUACAUAUAUUCAUAGUGCUACCGUUCACAAUUUACCGUACUCCACUUACACGUUAUAGAUGGGCUACAUGUCCUCCUCCAGGUUCCAGUCCCAGGUGUUCUUCAUGGAUGGCACGAUCCAUAGCGGUGGGCAACGGGAAUCAUUGUAGCAGCUUUCUAGUCCGGUUCCACACGAUGGAGACUCAUCCAAGCUAAAGUGACAUAACUCAGGGAUAGCGUGUCCCAGCAUGUCAUUCAUCCGGCGGUGCGCACUGAAGACACAACCAUGCUUCAUGAACGGCAGGCCUUCUGUGUCGUGCACGGAAGGUGGUAUCCGCUUCACAAUGGGGUAGCUAUCCCUAAUGAAAAGCGAGUACUCUCCAAGAGUGUUCCUCGGCACCCAUGUAGCAUCACGGGGGUCGAACUCGGUGCCGUUCAUCUGGUACACGCGGCAUCUCAGAUCUGGACACAUGGUGACGUACAUAGUUAGGGUCCAUGCAUAAUAAUGUUGUGCUCAAAUAUGGCGGUCAGUAAUACUGUGCAGCAAAUAGUACUACUCCGGUAUAGAGGAAUUAAAAUAACCGGCUUAUUAUAUAUAGCCACUCUUGGCUACAUGGAUGAGAUAUUAAGACAUGGAAAAACAAAAAUGGUGGCAGCUAGUGGGUUCAAGUCUUCAAGGGCCUAGCUAGCUAUACACGUCCUCUAAGGUAAAAAGUACUCCUACUAGUACGUAAGUAGAGUACUAGUACAACAAUGAAAGAGAAGGCGAGAGGGUUAAAAAAUGGAAUACCUGGGUAGAUGGUGACGGUCCGAUCAUGGUAGAUUGUGUGACCAUGUUGCACAUCAGUGGUACCAUGGGUAACAACUACUAAGAUAGUUGAUCCCAAUAUGCCAAAGUUAGCUACAAGGUUCCAGGUUCGAUCGAAUCGCGGAUGCAAAUGCACAUCCAGGAUCGGCGAUCUUAUUUUGAUCGCAAGAUGACUGGUCCCUGCAAACUAAUGGAGUACCGUUAGGGAUGCAAAUGAUGGUUUGUGCCUUCCGUUUGUAAUCUCCCGUACCGUAGGAUGGCAACCAGAUGAAACUAGUCCCCUGGCAUGUCAUCGCGAAGAUGCGGCCUAGAUGGCGCACGGCAUAUUCGAACGUGUAGGGGUACAAAUUUGCCACCGCCAACAUGCGCAGCCUGUGCCGUUACUGCCUCUUGCAUUGUUGGCAACCCUUAUGUCGAACACCGCGAUGAGAUAGUAAUCGUUGUAGCCAUGUCGCUUUGUCGGCGGGUCCGCAAUUGCUAUCUCCUUCAAUCUCAUGUAGGCACCAUCAUACGUAUUCAAGCUCAGCCAGUCACAAAGGCCAAUCCCAAUGGUGGAGAAGGGGUCUACCCGAACGGCCGCACUGCUGUGGUUGUUGUGCAAAAUGAUGGUGGUAUCCGACCGGAGGUAUGCAAGCGAAUAUUCGUUGGCACCGACCCAGACCUAUAUAUAAGACGAUGGGCAGCGGAGAAAUUACGGGAUGGAAAUGGAAUAACUAAGUACUACAUGAUCAAACUCCAUUACUGACCUGCUCAUUGGACAAAAUCCGACUACCUCUCAACGUCGGCAACUCUAGCGGAGUCAACGUGCAACCAUGGCCAGGGAGCGGUGGACUGUUCGAAGGAUUGUCCCAUAGAAGAACGUUCUCCUCAAGGACACAUGGAAGACCAACAAGCAUGGCCUUUUCCCAAGCCUUUUUAAGCACCGUCUUGAAAAAGUUGGUGCAGGAAGCACCGAGUCUUGCGGCGGUGAGGAUGUCGGAGCGGCGUGCAAUUUCUCCCAAAGGAUCAUCGUCCAAGGUAUCCCAGCCCCGACAAGGAGGAGAACCGCCUGGCGGAUCCAUGGGAGCAGCGACGAACUGCCUUCUCUUCGGGGGGAGGGGAACUGGCGGAGAGGAGAUAAGAGCGUAGUAACUGCAGGGCCUCGUCUCUUCCAACUGUAGAUCGUUCCUUAGCGAAGGGGUGAGGCUAUUAUUUACUACUAGUACUAGCAUUAUGAGACGUUAUGGGAUUGCAUUAUACUGUAAAUAAUAGCACUAGUAUGAAAUUUUUGGCACUAGCUAGUAGUUUUUGGCGUGGAUUAAGAAAUUUUUGGUAUGUUUUUGCUAUUUUUUGUACACGCCAACUAGUGUCAAAAAACAUCUUACAUUAUGUGACGGAGGAGUACGUACUCAUACUGUAGCAGUACUAGUACUACCUUCUCAACUAGUAGUGCGAUGUACUGUACUUCUAGUAUAGUGCACCAGUUUUGAACUCUUGAAUCUCAGGGCCAAGGAGCUACAGUUUGAAGUGGAGGGUACUACAUACUGUUCUCUAGAACCAUCAUUGUACUAUCAAUGCAGGGAAAGUACACCUACGUAGUGGCCUAGUGCGUACUCUCGGUGCUCUAUUCAGCCGCUCCUCUCACGUAGCUGGCCUACUCAGCCGCUCCUCUCACGCACACACUAGCAGCCUGUUUAUCAGCGACGGUUACUAGGGGGCGAAACAUUUGAGUUAUUUGAUACAACGAGACUAGGCUUUUCACUUCCAUUUGUGGAGGUGUAAUGGAUCUCAUCGAACUUUGUUAGUAGUUCCUUCUUUAUGAAUGAGAUGAAGCAAAGCUUUUGCCUCCGUUUCAAAAAAAACACCAAGAGGAAUUUCUUUUAUAGUAGAGCCAAUAAUGGAGUGAACUCCAUGCAUGCAACACCACAAGCUACAGAGUAGUAGUAGAGCACUUUACGUACAGAGCCAUAUUGCAUAGUUCCUAAUGCCCCGCCAGGCUUUUCCGACUCCUCGGGCCUAAUUGGGAGGCGCUAGUUUAAAUAUGCUACUAGCUGAUGAGGAAGCUGCAAGCAAGGUGUGGCUAGGGCGAGCACGCGAGCCAAGAGAUGUUGGGGAGUGAAGGAAAAUCUGUUCAUGUGGCUAGGCUAUCCAGUGCACCCAGAUUGUGGUGUCGCACGUUCGUUUGACUUCAAAACUCAAACUACCAGUGUAAAAUAUUGGCUCGCAGCAAAGUAACUAUUUAAAAAAAGGCCGCCAUGCGUCCGGCCGGGAUCGAACCCACAAAACGAGGUAUACACUCCCGCGACCACUAGCAGUACUCGUUGGAGUACAACGCGACCUAGAAUCGCCUUUUGUCGCUAGUAGUACAUUGUUCCUUACAAGAAACCCCUAAUAAUGCAAGAAACCACUAAUAAUGCCAAGAAACUACUACCACUCGUAUACGUGGCAGACUUAAGAUAAGACUACCUUAUCAACAUUGUACAUGCUCUUACCAACCAGCCCUACCAAGAAACGACUACUCUACAAAGUGCUUUUAUAGGCACGUUUCAACCCAUGGCCCUGUUUGGGUACAUUUAUUGUCAAUCUAGCCUGCCAUCCAAACACCACUUUGGUAAGAGUUAGUUCCGGGUUAGAAUCUAACUCUAACCUCUGACUUAGAGUAUCCAAACAGGGCCCAUGUCGCCCAUUAAGUCAACGCCUUCUAUUUGACUGGGCGUUAUGACUUGUGGGACCAACAUGUCAGUCUGCACAAAAAAUCCCCGAGUGACCUCCUACCUCCGGCCCGUCCACCUAGUCAUCCUCGGCCAUGGGACGCAGCUACCGCCGCCGGUAGAAGGCGAGGUCAAAACCGUCGGCGGUGCGGAGCCCAUCUUGUGGCAGCCCGGAUGCCAGCUCCGUCCGGCGCUCGCAUCCGCUAGCUAGCCAAGAUAGCUCCGUCCAGCUGCUUGUUUGCAAGGUUUGCUAGCUAGAUUGGCACGGCAGCUUGCUCGUGCGUGCUGAGCUAAGGCCAGCCAUCUGGCUCGAGCGAAGGCCAGCGCGGCGGCUUGCUCACUCAUGGGUCAUGCUCGGGCCAGCCUGCCAACCCAUGCAGAGGCCAGCGCGGCGUCCGGUCCGAUGGAGCGGCGGCCAACUCGCUCAUCACCGCCGCCAUCGACGAACAUGCAUUAGUACUGUUUGAAGUAAUGUUUAGGAAAAAUAAUGAUUUGAGGGGGGAUAACAGGAUAGAAGGUCAGAUGUGGGUCCCUCGUGUCAACGGUCAAACAAAAUGUGUUGGUUUAAUCUGCCUCGUCAGCACGGACGUGUGGGCUAACCCUGUCAUAAACGGGUUUAAACUAACCUAAUUGGUACCCCCUUUGUCCCAUAAUAUAAUAUGUUUUUGCAAGCUAAACUAGCUUGCAAAAACGUCUUACAUUGUGGGAAGGAGGGAGUACUAGAUAGUAGUUUUUGGCGUGGAUUAAGAAAUUUUGGGUAUGUUUUUGCUAUUUUUGUACAAUAGAUUCUUCCUAGGGCUGGUUGAAAGUGGUAGUUUUUUUGUUAAAUACUCUACAUAUUGUAAGUAGGAGUGAAAGUUAAGCUUUGGAACCCAAUAAGCAAGGCUAGUUACAUAGUGCAUAUGUGUACAUGAUUGAAAGUAAACAUCAACCAUGAGUGACUAAUAUCUUGAUGGAAAACUCGAAACUAUGGAAUAGUAGGAAAAAAUUGCAUGGUUGGAAAUACUAGCAAUGUUCAUGUGCGUUGAAACGAAUCAUAAUUAGAAUAAUACUUAUUCACAAACUUGAUACAAAACACUCUAAUUUUGAUAUACAUAUGUCACUAGAGUUAUAUUAUGUUUCAAUUAGAAUAUAUUCCUUGGGCUGUUUUUGUGAGGUCGGGGAGGGAUGUGGUUGGUUUUAAGAUACUAAUUAUGGGUUUUUUCCGCAAAUUGGUAGACAAGUGGGAUGUUGGUGAGGAAAGGCAACAACUUACCUCAUAGUCGUUAGAUGUAGAUCUAAUGGUCACAAACGACGGAUGGCAGACACACCAUCAUCACCAACUUAGUCUUUUAUAGGAGUACUAGCAAGAUUCGUGCAUUGCACGGAACAUCAAGAUGCCUUUUUAUAUAAAACACUUGUUGUGAUUGACCCAUGCUGGAGUAAUCCCAUGUGUAAAAACUAAUGAUAUCUCGAGAAAUAGGAGAUAAGGUGAAGAGGAUUGGGGCGUGGUGGUGAUUGGUGGUCGGACUGGGCGGAGGAUGCUGGCAGUGGCCACCAUGCCAGUUUGUUCCAGAGGCUUCCUUUCUUAAUUGCUCAACAAUGAGGUUGUUGGAGAUAAGGAUGAAUGAGGGAAGGCCUUGUCUGCAAAUGUUGAGAGGGGUGCGGGUAUCUAUUAGUUUAAUUUCCAUCCGUCAGAUAUAGAUCGGACGGUCUAUAUUGCAAGAUGGCACGCGUACCAUCAUCACCAACUUGGUUUUUUAUAAGAGAAGAAAUAUAAGUAUGGAGAUACAAACGUAUUAUCAAUACUUGUUUCCGUAAACUAGCAUCUACAUUCUAUUCAACGCCUCAGCAUGUGAGGCCUUAGCACAAUGACUUCUCGACUGUGUAAAACAAAGGUUUUCCCGUCGCCGAUAAGGAGGGGGUGACGGCGGCGUGCUUUUUGGCCUGCUCUAGUCCUAGUAGUCAUACUAGGUGGUCUAAGCACAUGUAGAUUUAUUCUUUUUCAUGUCUCGUGUUCGCCAUACUGCCACGACUGUUGAUGAAUAGACAGUAAGUUAUUCACGGGGAAACCCUUGUUGAGCGUGUUUGCGAGAGAGAGAGAGAGAGAGAGAGAGAGAGAGAGAGAGAGAGUGUGUGUGUGUGUGCGUGUGUGAUAUGUCUAGAGACUGAGGCAAUGAUAACAGAUUCUUUGUGUCUAUGUGUGUGGAGGAUAGAGAGAGACAUGUACAUGGGGCUUUGUGUUGUGUAACGUGGAGACACAUAUACAUAAUUAGAGAGUGAGUGUGUGAGAUACACAUGCGGACAUGGGGAGAGAUGAGGAUCCGGAUUAAUGGGUGUUUGUGCGUGUCUGUGUGUGUUUGUGCGUGCGUUUGUGUGUGAGAGGGAGCAUGUAUGUGGAGUAGAGAGACCACUAAUGAUGUAAACCUAGUAUAAGGAAAGGGGGAAUGGUGUGACAUGUGUAGUAGUGGGAUAGCAUGGGUGCGGGCGGGGGGAGCAGACUAUUUGGAAGAGACAUCGAGUGUGUGUGGGAGAGGGGUGUGAGAGAGAGAGAGAGAGCUAGCGACGGAGAGAGAGGGAGGAAGAGAGGGGCGAGAGAGGGGGCGUUUGUGACCAUAAAUGGCGUAUAGAUAGGGAGACAAUGUUGAUGUUGUUUGAAAUUGGCCUAUGUACGGAGACGCAAGGAAACGAGUCAUCGUGUGUGUGAUAGGGACUUCAUGAUUGGUCUAGAAUAGAUGGUGUAGAGAACAAUGUGCGAGAUCAAGAACGAUGAUACAUUAGGGAGAUAUGGAAAGAGUCACGACAUAUAUGUAUACAGGGAGGAGCUGGGGCGGGUCCGCAUGUGGGAGAGAUAGAAAGAGGAGAGUGGUGCACAAGGAGACAAAGUGUGCUUGUUUGCAUUGGGGGUGGUGUGUGAGGUGAGUGUGCAAGAACCACAUAAUAGGGAGAUAGACGUUUGGGGUCGAUGUUUUGUGUGUAUGGGAAAGAUGCACUCUACAUAGUGCGUGUGCUUGGGAAAGAGAGAUGCCGGGAUACCAAGAUAAAGAGUGGGGGGAGAGAUGUGUGCAUGCCCAAGAGACAAAGUGAUAGAGACCUAUAUUGGGGUCCAGACUUUAGAAGAGAGAGGGGUGUUAAUGUGCUCGUGUGUUGGUAUUUGGGGGAGAGAAUGACUUCUCUGUGUGUGGGAGGGCGACGAGGGGGGGUGGCUUCAGAUAAAGAGUGAGGUGUCUAUAUUUGAGGGACUUUAGCGUAAUUGAGAUAUACAUGGUCAAUAGUGUGUGCACUCAUGGUUGAUCAAUUUGUUUCACAGUUUGGACUAUGAGAUACCGAUACUUUUGAACAUGCGUGAUAUACCUUGAUGUACCAGAAUUACAAACCUAAGAUUGAAAUUUUGGAAUUCAACUCCAUCAUUAGCUUUUGUAAUUCAUUUAAAUGGGGGUACAUUUUUAAGCCGGGAUUUUGUGAUUUCAGAUUCAUAUAUCAAACCUAGAGAUAUACACAUACGGGUAUGUUCAAACUUUAUAAUCAUCCACUUUAUUCAUACACAUACACAUUUUUUCUUUUGUCAUCAUAUUUAGGAUAAACACAUUUGGAAUUUCAUUUGAAUUGGACCGUAUGAUGGUAUUUGCUUGUAGCUCAAUGAUCCAUAUUUGAAUUGACUAGACAAUCUAAUUUUCGAUUUGGAGACAUUGAUUUUCAAAACUUGCACUUUUUUGCGUGCAAAACAAACAAAUUCUCGGCCAUGAUAUCAUAGUCGGUCGUACAAGAGCAGAAUAUAAUUUCAGGCGCCAAAAGCUUUCAAACUUCCCGCUCACAUCGAAAUAUCUCGCGCCCGAAAGUUUAGCCCUGCGAUAUUCCUGUUUUACCCCUGCCACAUGAACGGAAAAGGGCUGCUUUCGUAACUCCAUUGUUUUCCCCUCUUUGCCCCCAACAUUCUUCCCCGGAGCCCCUCCCCUUCCCCUCCCCGACCCCCCCAACCACGGCAAGCCGCUGAAUCUAGUCCUCCGCCGCAGCGGUGGACCUCAAACCCCGACGGAUCUACCUUCCGCACCUUGGAACCCCCAACUGCCAACUCACCACUUCACCGGAGCCGCUUCAGCGACUGGCUUGUCCACCGCUCCAGAUCUCCUUGACCGCCAUCAUGGUCCACCGCACCGGAUCUGCUUAAACCGGCGGCCUUUUCCACCAUAGUGUAGGCCCUUCACUGACUCCCUCGUCCAUCCCUUCGCUGGCCCUUCAUACAAGCCCUCAUCUGCCGCAACAGAUCCGCCUCACCGAAAGCACUAUACAACGCGCCCGCCGAAGCCUUCGUCCACUUCACUUACUGCAGAUGAACUUUCUUGUAUGUUGACAGGCACCGCAACCGCAGCACCGGAGCCGCUUCAGCGAUGGCGACAGCCGGCCCAAACUCAACCGCAACACGUGCACCAUCGACGAUCCUUAGCUAUCAAGUAUGCCAACGAUACCCAUAUGCCGCUGAGAAUCAGGUACUAUUAUCCAACGGCCGGCGCCUACGCUCACUUUCUUAGCAUAAGCACUGCACCUUUGAAUUUCUUCAGGGCAUCAUUCAGUUUUUCAUGAGACGCGUUAUUCUUCUUGCACCUGUAGGGCCAUACUUCAGGCAGUGAAUAUGUUACAUGUGCUAAAUUACAUACCAGUGCAGAUAUAGUUAAUAUGCUUUAGUUUUGUCCUAAGUAUUACGGUACUUCCUAGAUAUCACUGCCUACUAUUUUACUUCUUGCAUGCUAUAUUUAUGAUAAUGGUGUUGUUCUGAUGCCACCUAUUGGUUCCAUCAGACUGCUUCAUGUUCUCUAUGCUUAAUUACACAUCAUCAAACUAGCAUGUGGUUCCACUGGUUUUUGUUCGUUUUGCCCUACAUUUUCUGAUGCUAGCUAUUACAUCACUGCUCCGAGCCUCUGUUCAUUACUUUUUGUGUGUUCUUGAUCUUCCCAAGUUGCAUGACUAAUUUGAUGCUUCUAUUAAUUAUGGAGCUGCCAACCCCAUCAAGCAAAAUAUUUGUUCUUUUAGGGCUGGCACCUCGAACAAGCAUAAAAAUAGAGGGAAGCAUAUAUAUUGUCGUGUAUGCACACACCCUUCUUUCAUUAGUUUAGAUGAACCAUUGAUGAUCAAUUCGAACCAGUGCAUGUGAUUAAAAUUAAUUUUACCUAAAUAAAGGGUGCAAAAUAAACUACAACAAGUAGAUUUGCAACCACGGGAUGCUGACGAUAUGUUCAAAGAACAUUGCAACAGCAGUGAGGCUUCACAGCAACAUAUGGUAAGCCAGUGUGUUUUAGUACAUGUGAAAUGUAAUGCGUGUGGGCUGCUUUCUUGGCUUGUGCCCUCAACCUGUAAUCCUACAAAAUAACAAAUAGUUCAGUUCUGUGCUUUGCUGUAUUGCUUGAUUCGAGUGCUUGUUUGUUACUUGUUAUGCUAUACCUGAGUUGGCCAAUAUGUCAGCAGUGCCUGCUGUACUAUCGUAAAGAAAUGCAUGCCUAGUUCAUAUGAGUCCUUAACUUUUCCUCUGAACUUCAUCACAAGACUGUCUUCGUAGUUUAUAUGAGGCCACACUUUUAAGUGCUUUCUCAGAUUAUUUCAACUGCUUAGAUGCCUUGGCAACUUAAAUAUAGCGGUGGUACACUCCCUUUCAACUAGGGAUGUCAACUGGGUCCCGUUUAAUCCCGAUUAAAGUCCACUAGUGGUAUGAUAGUUCAAAAGAGUUUUUGUUUUUUGAGGAAAAUGAACCGGGGAGCUAGCAAAAACUAACUAGAUGGGACUGGCAGAUGUCGUUUAUUUGCCACUUACAUCCCUAGUUCCAUCUUACCAUUUUAAUUUAUUUUCGGCUGAUGUUGCUUCGAACCAUUUAAAUAUAGCUUGCCAUGCUCGGCAAUAAAUCGUACGUCAUUUACCAUGUAAGCUUACUGCCUGGAUCAUGCGAUAACUAUAUCUUACUUAUGUCCAGCGGAAACCUUUCAGGAUGUCGUUCACACUAGGACACAAUGUACAACCCCAGAAUCUAUUUCUAGAAGUAGUGCGCCAUCCAUGUUAGCAGAUGGUAGUAGUUCAGAGGCAACACCAUCGGAGAGCAAUCUGAGCACAUAUAUUAUAGUUCUUGAGGCUCUACUAGAGGCAGAAAGAGAUGGUGUGGCUGCCAUGAAUGAGGUAAUCUCGAUCUUGAAGCUGGAAAUUAUGCAAUUAGCUGCACGCAUUAUGCAAGCAACCCAAGAAUUGGAGGAAUUAAGAAUGUUGCAUUUGAAGACGGAGGAGGUCCUGCUGCUUCUACUAUCUGAAGCCCAGGGUAAUCCUAGUUCUACUUUAGAUAGCUGUUGAAAUUGUCAUUUGAUUAUUGUAAUGUGUUGUAAUGAUCCGAUUUUUUUGGCGAGGUAAUCCUCAGUACUUGUAUGAUUGACAUAAGGUGAACUGUUUUCCGUGUGAGCAUAUUGUAUUGGAUGAAAUAACUAUUUGACUCAAAGUGUAUCCAACCUACUGAAUUCGAAGAUCACGACAUUUCUAAAUCAUAAUCAUAUAUAAAGGUGGAAUAAAUCUUUGUUUUGGUUUUGAAGAAAUCAAUAAUAAAAUGUAGAAUUAUUUGUGGAUAUUCGUAAUUGAAUAAAAAUUGAAUUUGGAUUUAGUUGCCAGGGCCCAGGGCAAACGUGAAUGCUAAUUCUCCCAAGUUUUGAACGAAGCGGCUAAACACCCACUAUCAUUUGUGGGCUGCCCAAAGCAAGUGUUGGCGAGAUGGAAAUUACUGUCUACCCCUGACACUUAACAUCCUUAUCGACCGGAUUUACACUGCUGUCGAUAGGGGUAGACUAGUAACUUCAAUUAGACGUGACACGAUGGCCUCUGAGCCCAUUCAGACACGGUGGGCGCCAAACGUGGGCAGCAAAACACAUUUGAUUCAAGAUCGUCCGAAAGACAUGUGUCUCUCCCUCCAUUUCCCCAUUCAUCCAUGGUGGGCGGCAAGACAAACUCUCCUUGUCUGAAAUCAAUGUAGCCUAAUAUUUUAAAUAGGGGCAGGUGUGUAACUUCCCUCAGACGUGAUAAAACCGCCCUACCUAUCAGCCCUGUUCAUACACCGUGGGUGCCAACCGUGAGCGGCAAAACAGCUUCUCCUCGCCCGAAAUCAUUACCGACAAAUAUCUGGGAGAUGCGAGAUUACCGUCCUAUCCCCAAGCAACGUGACGUCCAAAAUUUUAAACGGGGGAUAAGUUCGUAACUUCCCCACAUUUCAGACAAGCGCGCCCCAAAGUUUGAGAUUCCCCUCCCCCUCCAUUUCCCCAUUCAUACACCGUCGGUGCCACGACAACCUCCCCACUGCGGCCAGCCUCCUCCGUCCGCCAGCCCAUCCUCCACCUUACCGGAGCCUCUACCCCUACCCCGUCGUCCACUGCAAGAGAUGGACGUCUCUCAUCCAUGGUGCUGGACCAGGAUCCUUGCGUUGCGUCGUAUCGCUUCAUCGGUGCCGUCGUCCACCUUGUCGUUGCCGCUCUUAUGACCACCUCGUCCACGGCAAUAGGAUUUAUCCCCCGACCCGGCCGUCUGCCACCUAAAGUCUUCUUCCCUGCUGCCGACAGCCAUUGCACCUGCAGCACCCUCAACGUAUCAGCAGGGGCCUACAUGGCGUCGCAAGAGAGGUGGUACUCUUCCAUAUGUGCUUAAGUUAUUGAUCUCACCCGGAAAAUAGAUCUUAAAUUGUUUACUGUACUUUUCUUUUCCGUACCAAAUCAUAGUGGCUAGUUGAAUGCAAACAUUGGUUGCGAAGUAGCUUUGUCCGGUUUCGACCUUCAGAUCCGCCAUGUCACAGUCACUAUACUCGUAAAGCUCAUGGUUUCCCCCCUUUAUAUUCACUACCAUCAUCGUAGGUGCUUCACUGCUUCGUGUUGUGCUAGCACUGCUCCUCAAGACCUAAACCCAUCAAGCGAAACAACAUGCCACUCAUAAUUCCAAAGCUUACGUGUUGAAAUAUGAAUCUGAUAUGAUGCUCAUAUUACUAAAACAGAGAAUGUUUAAUUGGUCACCUAAUGUUCCUAUAUUCGUUUCGAAAAGCAUGUGUGCCACCCAUUGGUCCAGCUAGUUCCACUUUCCUGAUUUUACUCUUGAUGCUUUGGGUUUUCCCCUUUUAUCUACUCUACUAUGAUGUGUGUAGGUGCUUUCUUUCAUACUAGCAUUACUCCACCCUUCAAGCUAAACAACACAACACUCAAAAUUCCAAAGCUUAGUUGUUCAAAUAUGAUUGUGAUAUGAUAUUGAUAUUAGUUAAUAGACACAUUUAAUUGGUUAGCUAAAGGUCCCACUUGAGUUUCCAAAUACAUGUCGCGACAUAUAGAGAUACAACAGAAUUGCAUUUUCUUUGUCACUUGUUGACUGUACUUUCUUAUCCAUAUAAAAUCUUAGUUAUUAUUUCAAAGCAAACAUCGGUUGCUAACUACCCUUUGCACGGUUUGCAGCUUCAGAUCUGCCAUCCCACUGCCACGGUCAACACUAUACUCAUCAUGCUUACGGAUUCCCUAUUUUAUGAUGACCACGAUCAGCCUACGUGGUUCGUGUCGUAAUAGCACUGCUCCACCCAUCGAGCUAAACAAGCUUAGUUGUACAAAUUGAAAUCUGAUAUUAUGCUGAUAUUAGUAAAACUGAGAGAUGUUUAAUUGGUCAGCUAAAUGUUCCUACUUUAGUUUCGAAAUGCAUGUGAGCCACAUAUGGAGAGACCGGAAGGAAUAGUAUUUCUCUAUGUGCUCUGGUUCACCAUGGGUGGCCAAGCGACAUUGUGUAGAAAGACUUGUAAUAUCUUCAAUCCACUUGCUCUUUUGCUCUUCUUUAAGAUGAUCCUCUUCUCUUGCGGUUGACUGGUCAGGUCAAGUUAUUCUCCCUUAGUAUAUUUUGAAUCUAUCAGGUCAGGUCGACUUGUUCUUCUUUACUAUAUGUUGAAGUUGUCAUCUGCGAAGUAUCAUCACUUCUGGAGCUCUCAUAUUUUGAGUAGUAGGCUGAGGGAAUCCUGGAUUAGGGGGUCUCCGGACAGCCGGACUAUAUCCUUUGGCCGGACUGUUGGACUAUGAAGAUACAAGAUUGAAGACUUUGUCCCGUGUCCGGAUGGGACUCUCCUUAGCGUGGAAGGCAAGCUUGGCAAUACGGAUAUGUAGAUCUCCUUCCUUGUAACCGACUCUGUGUAACCCUAGCCCCCUCCAGUGUCUAUAUAAACCGGAGGGUUUAGUCCGUAGGACAACAACAAUCAUACCAUAGGCUAGCUUCUAGGGUUUAGCCUCUACGAUCUCGUGGUAGAUCAACUCUUGUAAUACUCAUAUCAUCAAGAUCAUUCAAGCACGAAGUAGGGUAUUACCUCCAUCGAGAGGGCCCAAACCUAGGUAAACAUCGUGUCCCCCGCCUCCUGUUACCAUUCGCCUUAGACGCACAGUCCGGGACCCCCUACUCGGGAUCCACCGGUUUUGACACCGACAUCGGUGCUUUCAUUGAGAGUUCCACUGUGUCGUCAUCAUAAGGAGGGAUGGCUCGUCUCGUUGUCAAGAACAACAUCACCUCUGGGGGAGCCCUGGCUGUAGGCCAAACUCUCCGACUAGGCGGCUUCGUCAUGACCGCCCGCUCGGCCAUUGCACCGACAAUGACUUCUCGGGUCAUCGAAAAUAGCCUCCACAUCGGCUCGAAAUUCACCGAGCAGAUGGAUCCAAUGGAGCUCUCCUCAUUGAACAAGCUCUUGGAUGGCAUCGCCGCUCUGGGAGUCACUACGGACUAUGAUCGGAUUGGGCUUAAACCCGACCAAAGGGAGAUUAACUCCCCGUCAGUCACCCUUCAGAUAGCGGUGGUGGAGGAGCAAUGCGGCGAUUCUUCCUCUAUCAUGAGGACGAACUAUGUCUGGAUUCCCGAGCUCUCCGAGCCGGAUACCCGUCCACGGGAGGACAUCGCCCUAACCCUGAACCUAGAAUCAGCCAGCAUGCCGAACCUGUGGGGCAACAUCCCGGAGCCCAAACUUCUAAGAUCGGAAACUCCCCCGCCCCUGGGUCUCAGAUUGGGUCAAGGUCUGGACUUAAAUCCACCCACCCACCCAGAUAUAAACGAUCUUUCCCACAUUAGGCAAGAGCCCCAAGAGACAGUACAUCACUAUUGGGCCAGAUUCCUCCUUGUAAUGAACAAGGUCAAGGACUGUCGCGACACUGUUCUUUUGAAACAAUUGCACAGACAUGGAAAUCCUCAACGGCAUAAGUCAUCGUGACAUAGCACACUUCGCUAACUUGGCGGCCAUAGUACGGAAGUACUGUGCGAUGGAAAGCGCCUGGAAAACCCAAACAAAAUGUUGGGAUAAUCCGGCUCUGACAAAACCCCCAGUCCGAACUAAAAGGGUGCACUCUCAUAAGUCGCCCGACUCAAUUACAAAGAAGCAAAAGCCCACUAUAGGGCGUGGAACCGUAUUGGAGGGAUGGCUUAACGGGCCCUGCAAAAUUCAUAGUACAGCGGAUACCAUACCAACACACAGCCUUAGAGCAUGUUCGGUACUCCGGCAGGUGUCCAAGAGCGGUGAGGAUCUCCUCAUUCAAAACACCGCAGAGCACCAUCCCGGGGAUAACAAUACAGUAUUGACAGUCUUCGAGACCUUCGCCUCAAAUAAUAGGCGUAAGCGAGCACUCCGCGGCCUUGCCGAAGUCUGCCAUGUGGCAGCAAUAAAUCCAAGGAGCGACACGGCUAUCACCUUCAAUGCCAGUGACGAACCUAAAUUCCGAACAGCCCGAGCGCCAGCUGCCUUGGUCCUCAGUCCAAUUGUGGACGGCUUUCGGCUUACUAAAGUGCUCAUGGACGGAGUCAGCGGACUAAACCUCGUUUAUGAGGAUACUCUUCAAAAAAUGGAAAUAGACAGAAACUGUAUUGAGCAAAGCAGCAUGACCUUCCAAGGAAUCAUCCCCAGUCGGGAGGCACAUUGCGCUGGGAAAAUCACACUUGAUGUGGUAUUCGGCACUCCGGAGAAUUACAAGUCUGAAGAAAUUACAUUCCAAGUGGCCCCGUUCAGUAGCGGAUACCACGCCCUUCUAGGGCGGGAGGCAUUCAUGAUCUUCCAAGUCAUACCCCAUUACGGGUACAUGAAGCUCAAAAUGCCCGGGCCCAAUGGAAUCAUCACUCUAGCUAGUGAUCCGGACAUAGCACUCCGCGCCGAAAACAAAACAGCCGCACUGGCCCUCGAGGAAUUAUCCGAAGCCCUUGCGGCGGAGAAUUAACUGCGCUGCGCUCCACAGUGGACAGGGACGACGUGAUACUCGACAAAAGAUCCAAGUCCACCUCUUUUAAACCAGCGGAUGAAAUAGUCAAAUUCCAAGUCCAUGGAACAGACCCCACAAAAACAACAUCCAUCGGGGCACAGUUAAACCCCGCUGUAGACACCGCACUACGGGAGUUCCUACGCGAGAAUUGGGACAUAUUCUCCUGGCAUCCUUCAGACAUGCCAGGAAUCCCACGCAGGCUGGCCAAGCAUAGCCUUAACCUUCUAAAUGGAUUCAAGCUGGUCAAGCAGACUCUUCGGUGUUUCUCUGAACCUAAGCGACAAGCCAUGGGAGAGGAGCUAGCCAAGUUACUGGAGGCCAGAUUCAUUAGAGAAAUAAAACAUCCGGACUGGCUAGCAAACCUGGUGAUGGUACCAAAGAAGGAAAAAUCCUGGCGCCUAUGUGUCGACUUCAAGGACCUUAAUAAGGCUUGCCCAAAGGAUCCCUUCCCCCUCCCUCGCAUCGAUCAAAUUAUCGACGCCACCGCAGGACACGACUCAUUGUGCUUCCUCGACGAAUACUCCGGUUACCACCAAAUUAAGAUUGCGGAGUCUGAUCAAGCCGCAACGGCAUUUAUCACUCCAUACGGCCCCUUCUGUUUUAACACAAUGCCCUUCGGGCUCAAAAACGCUGGCGCAACGUAUCAAAGCAUGAUUCAUACGUGUCUGGAAAAGCAGAUCGGCAAAAUAGUGGAGGCAUACGUAGACGAUGUGGUCGUUAAAACCAGACACGUCGACUCCUUAAUAGAUGACUUGAGGCUCAUGUUCGACAAUCUCCGAACAUACGACAUUAAGCUCAAUCCGGAAAAAUGCGUUUUCGGCGUGCCCGCCGAAAAGCUCCUGGGCUUCAUCGUCUCCAGUAGAGGAAUUGAAGCAAAUCCGGCUAAAAUCGAGCUCUGUCGCAGUUGGCUAUCCCAACUGACCUCAAGCAAAUCCAGAAGUUAACUGGAUGUGUGGCGGCCUUAAGCCGCUUUAUCUCCCGAUUAGGAGAAAAGGCACUCCCCCUUUAUUGCCUUCUUCGACGCACCGAACACUUCGAGUGGACGGACGCAGCCACGGCCAGAUUGGAAAAAAUAAAAGCCAUCCUGGCCACCAACCCAAUCUUGGACGCGCCAAAUGUCGGUGAACCAAUGUUGUUAUAUACAGCGGCAACUCACCGAGUUGUAAGCGCAGUGCUCGUCGUUGAACGAGAGACGGACGGACAUAAAUUCCCACUUCAAAAGCCGGUAUAUUAUGUAUCCACUGUCCUCACUCCAUGCAAAUCAUGGUACCCACAUUAUCAAAAUAUAGCAUACGCGGUAUUCAAGAGUGUUCAAUUACGGUGGCCUCAGAAGUACCACUCAACGACAUAAUAAACAACCGCGAUGCCACGGGCCGAAUUGCCAAAUGGGAUAUCGAUCUCCUCCCGUUCGACAUAACAUAUAGACCACGGCGAGCCAUUAAGUCGCAAGUACUGGCCGAUUUCAUCGCCGAGUGGACAGAAGCCAAGCUCCCUAAAGAGUACGGCACGCCAAUUGGAUCACGCACUUUGACGGCUCUAAAAUGUUGGCUGGUCUGGGGGCUGGCGUCGUCUUGACGUCCCCCACCAGAGAUACAGUCCAAUACGUACUCCAAAUACUAUACACAGACUCUAACAACGCAGCCGAAUACGAGGCCCUAUUACAUGGUCUUCGGAUGGCAGUUUCCACGGGCAUUCAAUGCCUGGAGGUGCGUGGGGACUGGAACCUCGCAAUAUCUCAAAUAAAUGGAGACUUCAAUGCCAAGGAUCCAAAAAUGGCGGCAUAUCGCAACGCCGUCCUCAAAAUGUCAGCUCGGUUCGAGGGGCUUGAAUUCCACCAUGUGGCUCGGGAAAACAAUCAGGCGGCGGAUAUCCUCGCCCGUAUCGGUGCUAAGCGCGACCCUAUCCCACCUAACAUCUUCUUGGAAAGGCUGUUUAAGCCAUCCAUGGUAUGGGAAGGGGACACCGGUAACAAUAGUCCGGACCCAGCCACAACACCAGAUACCGAACACUCUGACACAAUCGGAGGCUCUGCCAUCGAAACAACACCUUCAGCCCACGUGAUAAUGGUCAUCAUCGCCCCGUGGACAGAACCAUUCCUGGCCUACCUAACCAGGCAGGAACUACCCGAGGACCAAAAUGAGGCACGCUACAUAGUGCGGCGAUCUAAAGCCUACAAGGUCCACGAGGGAGAGCUUUAUAAGAAAAGCACUACCGGAGUCCUUUAAAGGUGCAUCUCCGAAGAGGAAGGGUGGAAGCUUUUGGCAGAAAUCCAUGCUGGAAUCGGCAGCCGCCACGCUGUAGCCCAGGGCCUUGUAAGCAAGGCCUUCUGUACAGGUUUCUAUUGGCCGACGGCCCGAGCGGAUGCACAGGGUCUGGUCCAACGUUGCAUUGGUUGACAGCUUUUUGCAAACCAAAGCCAUAUGCCGCCUACCGCUCUUCAAACAAUCCCCAUUACUUGGCCCUUUGCGGUCUGGGGGCUUGAUAUGGUCGGACCCCUCAAAGGGGGAACCCAUAAGAAAAAAUACUUACUGGUCAUGGUGGAUAAAUUCACCAAAUGGAUAGAAGCCAAACCCGUUAAAACGGCUGAAUCCGGACCGGUGAUAGACUUCAUAUCUGGGGUUGUACACCAUUAUGGCAUCCCCCACAGCAUCAUCACUGACAACAGCACGAACUUUGCAGCCGACGAGGUAAAACUUUGGUGCAGCAACAUGGGCAUCAAGCUCGAUUAUGCUUCUGUCUAUCACCCACAAACUAACGGUCAAGUCGAGCGAGCAAAUGGUCUUAUCACGAGCAGCAUCAAACCCAGAUUAGUGCGGUCCUUAAAGGAAUCAAACACGCACUGGGUAGAGGAGCUCGACUCCGUGCUAUGGGGGCUGCGGACCACGCCGAAUCGCACUACCGGAUACACACCGUUUUUUAUGGUGUACAGCGCAGAGGCGGCUCUGCCUUGCGACAUAAUUCAUGACUCACCUCGAGUGCGCAUGUACGAAGAAAAAGAGGCCGAGCUUGAUCGGUAGGACAGUUUGGACGCCCUAUUCUAUCAGCAACAGGCUCGAAGGUAUCAAAGCAGAGAAGUACGAGCCAAAACCUAUAACGUUGGCGAACUAGUUCUACGACUGCCGGAGAAGAAAAAUAACAAGCUCAAGCCCAAAUGGGAAGGUCCCUUCAUUAUUGACCAGGUUCUGACCGGUGGAACGUACCGUCUGCGGGAUGCAUCGGAUAAUCGACUCGAGCCAAACCCAUGGAACGCAGCCAAACUCCGAUGAUUCUACGCCUAGUGCCAGACUCUAUGUUCAUCUCCUUAACCCCAUCAAUUUUUUGGAUAUCUGUUAUCUAUCUUUUCUCUCUUUCUCUCUUCUUUUUUCUUCUCCUCAAAGCCUUAAAAGGCUAACUUGUGUCUUGACUACACAAUCUUGAUGUGCUAACCGCGCUCAUUAUACCCGGGGGCUUCUUAUACAGAAUCUUAAUAUAACUAUUUUUCUGGGCUUUACACCCCACACAUGUGUUAUUCUUCCACAUGUACCUUUUUUCCCCAUUAUAUGCAUCGAUAUGACUUAAGUUUUGGCCAAGCUGGGUUCGCUGGCUCUUGUAUUUAUGCCCUAUGUUCCCAUUAAUUCGGCUAGGGCAUAAGGGGAGCACCUCUACGAUUGUUACUGCCGGGUCAGCCGGAUGUGUACCUCAGACUGGGUGAAGCCGAAAGCUAGCGUUCUUAAGGGAAUAUUCGGUCGGUGAACAAAAGUUGACUUUUAUUUAUUUUGAUACAUGCCCCCCAGAUGUUUAUAGCCUGCGUCUCUUUUCGCAGUUCGGACAUGCACAUUAGGGCAUGCGUACCCAGGGAAAGGAACCCUUAACGGAACUAUUCUCCCUGGAAGAUGUUUCUUACUAUCCAUGUAAUAUAACGUAGCUAGUUGGGUACUUGUCUGUUCAAGCACUUAUGAACCCUACGCCUGGUUUCCAUGCAUACCCCGGUUUUUACAUAACCGAGCAGGUAUUUGGAUACACUCCGGACUAUCGGAAUUCGUCUAGGGACAUUAUAUAUGUCACUUAAAGUACACAGUCACUAAGACUGACUAAAUUCUUCUUCUAUACCAUCCAACAGGCUGUCUAGCCUACAAUCCUGUUGGGAAUACUUUGCGGCUAAUUCUACUUGGUCAUACACCAAACUGACGGGGAUCUCUUUCCCAUCGGGCCCCACAGGUCCGACCUCGGCCAUGUGGUUUGGGUCAGCUUUGGUAUAUCGCGUCUUCACCAUGGCCCAGGCUUCCCUUGCACCUUGUCGGCAGGCUGAUAUCUUCCAUAAUCGGAAGCGCCGCCACGCUCCCUUGAGCUUUUCUAUAAGCUCCCCCAUGCCUCCUGGCGGGGAGGCGGAUGGCCACAAGGCUUGGGCAAUACCCUGCAUCACCUGCUGAACUUGUUCGUGCAGUUGUGAGAGCUCUGGUAGAAGAUCACCCGUAGACCCGGGCAUCUCCUCCGCGGGAUGACCCGUCAGCAUACCUGCAGACAUAACUCUGUUAGCCGGCUUCUUCGCCGAACUUUUUCAAAAGUUCGUUCAAGCACUUACUGAAAAUGCUGCGUCGAAGCCGCUUAUUCUCCUUCACGGAGUCCGCAAGCUGGGCUGGGACAUCUUUUUGUUCCACGCCCAGCUGGAUAUUAGCAUCCUGGAGAUCAUUUCUCUCCUGCUUGACCCGCAUAAGCACGCGCUCGCCAGCAUUUAGCUGUCGAUUAGCAUGUUGCGCAUUCCCCGGCACGGCCUCCGGAUUCACUCCGGAGUCAUCUGCAACAUCUAUUGUUAGAUUUGCAUGCAUGCCGCAUACUAUCUGGUACCUGUCAUUCUUUGCAAUGGAAACAAGUGUUACCAGAGGGGGCCUUCUCGGACUCCUUUAACGCGGCAACCGCGGCCCGUAGCUGGGCUUUGCACUCUUCCAGCUCUUGAGACAAUUGGGUAUUCUUCUCCGUAAGAACCUGCACAAAUAAUGAUCCUUAAACCAGUUGUGUCAACUGUUUCAAGUCUCAGGGGCUACUGAUAUAUAUAAUCAUCAGACUUUCUUACCCGUAUAUCCUUUACAUACUGGUCCGUGGCUCUGGCAAGACCAUUUUGAGCAGCACGGAUGUACGCGUCUCCUAAGUUGAAGGCAUCGAACGCCUCUUGGGAGAAACAAGCGUCACGGAGUACGGCCCGGCGACGCCUGUGAUUCAUGGCGCUCUCCACUUCGGAAUUUGUAGCGGAUAGUCUAUCCACAUCCUCUGUAGGAGGAGCAUCCGGCGUUCGCCCCGUGUUAGCUUCCGCCUCUAUGUCCGGCCCUGGAGCCCGACUGGUGGAGGCAUGAUCGGCAACCUCUCCGGAUAUAGUCCGGCGAGCGUUUUUCCUACUAGGAAACAUGGACGUCAUUAUAUUUUAAGAAAGACAACAACCACGGAGGGAGGUUUGGUACCUCUACGCCGCGUCUCAGUCCUGACCGCCUUCCUUUUUAGCCUACCCGGCUUUGGUGUCCCUUGUUGGCGAGUCACUGCGGGUUCGGCAUGGCGUCCUGAGGGCCUUCCCUGUAAGACACCAUAUGUGUACGGUAGGUGAAGUGCGUAAAAGGGGAUCCUUCUCGGAAGUUGGGACUCCGGUUUUUCUUACAUGCGAUGCAGGGAGUAGCCUAGCAUAGUCGGCUAUGAUGGCCACCAUGGCAUCAUCGUAGCUCAAUUGAUAGAAUGUCCUGUCGAUCAGCUCCACGAAUAUGUCCGGAUCCUCUUCGAGUCCGGGGUCGAGGGUGUAACACCCCGGAUGUAACUUUCCCAAUUUGUACUCCAACUCUUGCAGUUUCCGGCGUUAAGUUAUUUUAUUUCCUCGGGUUCGGGUCUUUGUCUCCGUGUGUUGUUAUCGUUGUCAUGCAUCUCAUAUCAUGUCAUCAUGUGCAUUGCAUUUGCAUACGUAUUCGUCUCAUGCAUUCGAGCAUUUUCUCCAUCGUCCGUUUUGCAUUCCGGCGCUUCGUUCUCCUCCGGUGGUCAUUUCUAGCUUUCUUUCGUGUGUGGGGAUUAAACAUUUCCGGAUUGGACCGAGACUUGCCAAGCGGCCUUGGUUUACUACCGGUAGACCGCCUGUCAAGUUUCGUAUCAUUUGGACUUCGUUUGAUACUCCAACGGUUAACCGAGGGACCGAAAAGGCCUCGUGUGUGUUGUAGCCCAACACCCCUAUAAUUUGGCCCAAAACCCACCUAACUCUGCUCCAUGUUCUAGAGUGUUCGAUCAUGAUCGUGUGGCCGAAAACCGCACCUCAUUUGGACUCUCCUAGCUCCCUCUAUGCCUAUAAAUAGGUCCUCCUCGAAAAUCUCGGAUCCCCCUCCCCGAAACCCUAAAAAUCAUCUCUCUCCGUGCCGGACGUGUCCGUCCGCCGCCGGACAUGCCGCGCCGCCACCCGCGGCCACUUGCAGAGGACCACAUGGCGCGCCGCCACCUCCUCCCGCCGAAGCCCGCUUGGCCCGGGGCCAGCCCCCGCGGCCCGUAGCCGCCCGCCGCCUUGCGCCGCGCCCCGCGCCGCCGCCUCGCCCAGCUGCCGCCACCGCCUCGCGCCGCGCCCCAUGCCGCGCCGCCACCGACUUUGUGUUGAUUACCGUCUAGUGAACAAGAAGACCAUCAAGAACAAAUACCCACUUCCCAACAUCAAUGAGCUGUUCGAACAACUCAAAGGUGCCCAAGUAUUCUCCAAGCUUGAUCUCCGUAUGGGUUAUCAUCAGAUUCGAAUCUGUGAGCAAGAUAUUCCCAAGACGGCUUUUAGGACAAGCUUUGGUUCAUAUGAAUACACUGUCAUGUCUUUUGGUCUCGUCAACGCUCCUCCGACAUUCUCUCGCAUGAUGAACUUCAUCUUCAACGCCUAUACCAAUGACUUCAUUUUGGUCUAUCUCGACGACAUUCUGGUUUUCUCGAAGAACAAGGAAGAUCAUGCCAAGCACUUGCGUUUGGUUCUUGAUAAGCUCAGAGAACACAAGUUCUACGCCAAGUUCUCCAAAUGUGAAUUUUGGCUCGAUGAGGUUCUUUAUCUUGGUCAUAUCAUCUCUGCCAAGGGCAUUGCCGUGAAUCCUGAGAAGGUGUUCCAGAAGCUCACCCGCUUUGCCAAGCAGGACGGCCCUGAUGAGAAGAGCAUGAUAUACCAGUUCAGGAGUGGUCUCAGAGAAGAAAUUCAGCUAGCUCUUGUCCUCUUUGAGCCCUUGAGAUACGAUGAGUUCUACAUCAUGGCACUGAAGCAAGAGGCUGCUCAGUUGAGGUGUGAUGCUUCCAAGAAGCAUGCCAGAGAUGUUACUCCUUCUUACUCUACUCAAGUGGCCAAGCAGCAGAAGUAUUGGCUUCCUCCUCCUCCGUUUCGUUAGCCGUAUCAGAAGAAGAGUAAAGGUGGCAGUGGUUCUUCCCACCCACCCAACCCUGGCUUUCAGAACAAGACUUCGUCUCAAGCUCCAAGAUCGAGUGCUCCGUAUCACCGUCCGCUUUCAGAGGUCACGUGCAACAAGUGCCAACAGAAGGGUCACUAUGCCAACAAGUGUUUCAACCAGAGGCGUCUUCCUCCUCCUCCUCCUGUGAGAUCGGCAAGUACAGCUGUGGUCAAGCAUAACCCCAAGCACGCCAAGGUUAACUUGAUGAAUGCAGCUCAGGCAGAGGACUCGUCAGAUGUGAUCAUGGGUAACCUUCCUGUUAACGAUGUUCCUGCAAAAGUUCUUUUUGACACUGGUGCAUCGCAUUCCUUUUUGUCAUGUCCUUUUGCAUCGAAGCACAAUGUUGAUACCGAGAUCAUGCCCAAAGUCAUGCAAGUUGUUUCUCCCGGCAAGCUUUUGACUUCUAGUUUGGUUGCUCCCGAUAUCUCUAUCACGUUGGGUGACUACAAGUUUCUCUCUUCUCCGGUGGUUCUUGGUAACUCGGAUAUUGAUCUUAUUCUCGGAAUGGUUUGGCUUUCUAAGCACAAGGCUCAGCUUGAUUGUGCAUCCAGGCAGAUUCAAUUGACUCAUUCGUCUGAGGAUGUAAUUGUCUUUGCCGCUCGGGAUAAUACCAUCCGUCUGUUUUCUCUCAACGAGAAGGGUGAAUUGGAUGCCAUCUCACAAAUUCCAGUCAUUUGCGAAUAUCAAGACGUCUUUCCAGAAGAGCUUCCAGGAAUGCCUCCGCACUGGCCAGUCGAAUUCGUUAUUGAUCUUGAGCCUGGCACGGAACCUGUGUGCAAACGUCCUUACAAGCUCAGACCUGAAGAGUUGAAGGAGCUGAAGAAGCAACUCGAUAUUCAAGAGAAAAUGGGUCUCAUCCGGCCUAGUUCUUCUCCGUGGGGUUGUGGUGUUCUUUUUGUGAAGAAGAAGGAUGGAACGGACCAACUUUGUGUUGAUUACCGUCCAGUGAACAAGAAGACCAUCAAGAACAAAUACCCACUUCCCAACAUCAAUGAGCUGUUCGAACAACUCAAAGGUGCCCAAGUAUUCUCCAAGCUUGAUCUCCGUAUGGGUUAUCAUCAGAUUCGAAUCCGUGAGCAAGAUAUUCCCAAGACGGCUUUCAGGACAAGCUUUGGUUCAUAUGAAUACACUGUCAUGUCUUUUGGUCUCGUCAACGCUCCUCCGACGUUCUCUCGCAUGAUGAACUUCAUCUUCAACACCUAUACCAAUGACUUCGUUUUGGUCUAUCUCGACGACAUUCUGGUUUUCUCGAAGAACAAGGAAGAUCAUGCCAAGCACUUGCGUUUGGUUCUUGGUAAGCUCAGAGAACACAAGUUCUACGCCAAGUUCUCCAAAUGUGAAUUUUGGCUCGAUGAGGUUCUUUAUCUUGGUCAUAUCAUCUCUGCCAAGGGCAUUGCCGUGAAUCCUGAGAAGGUGUCUGCAAUUGUGAAUUGGGAACCUCCUCAGAACGUGAAGCAACUCCGUAGCUUCCUCGGUCUCGCAAGCUAUUGCCGAAGAUUCGUUGAAAACUUUUCUAAGAUCGCGAAGCCUCUCUCUAAUCUUCUUCAGAAGCACGUCAAGUACGUUUGGUCUCCGGAGUGUGAUAUUGCUUUCAACACUUUGAAAGAGAAAUUGAUCACUGCUCCAGUUCUGACUCCGCCUGAUGAAUCCAAACCAUACGAGGUCUUUUGUGAUGCCUCUCUCCAAGGUCUUGGCGCAGUAUUGAUGCAAGAGAAGAAAGUUGUUUCUUAUACAUCUCGCCAGUUGAAGCCUAAUGAGAAGAACUACCCCACUCAUGAUCUCGAGUUGGCGGCAGUUGUGCAUGCUCUUUUGACUUGGAGACAUCUUCUAUUGGGAAGAAAAGUGGACAUUUUCACUGAUCACAAGAGUCUCAAGUACAUCUUCACUCAGCCUAAUCUCAACCUCAGGCAAACUCGAUGGGUCGAAAUGAUUCAAGAGUAUAAUCCGAGUAUCGAGUAUACUCCAGGCAAGGCCAAUGUGAUUGCUGACGCUUUGAGCAGAAAGGCCUACUGCAACAGUCUGAUUCUCAAGCCUUAUCAACCCGACCUUUGUGAAGCUUUCCGCAAACUUAACCUGCAAGUUGUUCCUCAAGGUUUCCUUGCCAACCUUCUAGUCUCUCCUACCUUAGAAGACCAGAUUCGCCAAGCCCAGCUUCUUGAUGCUAUGGUGAAAAAGGUGAAGAUUGGGAUUGCCAAGAGUCAGUCCAAGUACAAGUGCUACCGCCUUGAUGACAAGGACACUCUCUUCUUCGAGGAUCGUAUUGUUGUACCCAAAGGUGACCUUCGUAAAGUGAUCAUGAACGAGGCUCACAAUUCUCUCCUCUCCAUCCACCCUGGGAGCACGAAGAUGUAUCAGGACCUUAAGCAAGCUUAUUGGUGGACUCGAAUGAAGCGCGAGAUCGCUCAAUUUGUGAAUGAAUGUGAUGUAUGUAGAAGAGUGAAGGCAGAACACCAAAGGCCAGCAGGUCUCCUCCAACCUCUUGCCAUUCCAGAAUGGAAGUUUGACCACAUUGAAAUGGAUUUCGUGACUGGGUUUCCAAAGUCCAAGCAUGGCAAUGAUGCUAUAUUCGUUGUCAUCGAUAAACUCACCAAAGUGGCUCACUUUCUGCCUAUCAAAGAGUCGAUCGCUGCAGCUCAAUUGGCGAAACUCUAUACCUCUCGAAUUGUCUCUCUACACGGUAUUCCACAAGUGAUCUCUUCAGACCGUGGCAGCAUCUUUACCUUGAAGUUUUGGAAUUCUUUUCAGAAGGCCAUGGGCACCAACAUCCGCUUUAGCACAGCUUUCCAUCCUCAAACUAGCGGUCAAGUCGAGCGUGUCAACCAGAUUCUUGAAGAUAUGCUCAGGGCUUGUGUGAUCUCCUUCGGCAUGAAGUGGGAGGAUUGUCUUCCUUAUGCUGAAUUCUCCUACAACAACAGUUUUCAAGCAAGUUCGGGCAAGGCCCCAUUUGAAAUUCUGUAUGGCAGGAAGUGUCGUACCCCUCUCAACUGGUUGGAAACCGGUGAACGUUAGCUUUUGGGUAAUGACUUAAUCACAGAGGCAAAAGAAAUGUGCAAAGUCAUUCGUGAUAACCUCAAAGCAGCCCAAUCCCGUCAGAAGAGCUACUAUGAUAGUAAGCACCGUGAUUUAGCUUUCGAGAUCGGAGAUCAUGUGUACCUCCGUGUCUCUCCUAUGAAAGGUACUUGUCGCUUUGGUAUCAAAGGGAAGCUUGCCCCUAGAUACGUGGGACCUUUCAAGAUUGUCAGCAAGAGAGGCGACCUCGCCUAUCAACUCGAGCUUCCUUCAAACUUUGCAAAUGUUCAUGAUGUGUUUCAUGUCUCUCAGCUUCGAAAGUGCUUUAAGACUCCUGACUGCACCGUCAACUUCGAGGACAUUGAGCUCCAAGAAGAUCUCUCUUAUCGUGAGCACCCAAUUGCUAUUCUUGAAGAGACUGAACGCAAGACUCGCAACAAGUCAAUCAAAUUUCUCAAAGUCGAGUGGUCACACCAUUCCGACCGUGAAGCUACCUGGGAACGCGAGGAUCACCUCUUUUCUGAGUACCCGGUGUUCUUUCAGUCCUAGAUCUCGGGACGAGAUCCUUUCGUAGUGGUGGAGUGUUGUAACACCCCGGAUGUAACUUUCCCAAUUUGUACUCCAACUCUUGCCGUUUCCGGCGUUAAGUUAUUUUAUUUCCUCGGGUUCGGGUCUUUGUCUCCGUGUGUUGUUAUCGUUGUCAUGCAUCUCAUAUCACGUCAUCAUGUGCAUUGCAUUUGCAUACGUGUUUGUCUCAUGCAUUCGAGCAUUUUCUCCGUUGUCCGUUUUGCAUUCCGGCGCUUCGUUCUCCUCCGGUGGUCAUUUCUAGGUUUCUUUCGUGUGUGGGGAUUAAACAUUUCCGGAUUGGACCGAGACUUGCCAAGCGGCCUUGGUUUACUAUCGGUAGACCGCAUGUCAAGUUUCGUAUCAUUUGGACUUCGUUUGAUACUCCAACGGUUAACCUAGGGACCGAAAAGGCCUCGUGUGUGUUGUAGCCCAACACCCCUUCAAUUUGGCCCAAAACCCACCUAACUCUGCUCCAUGUUCUAGAGUGUUCGAUCACGAUCGCGUGGCCAAAAACCGCACCUCAUUUGGACUCUCCUAGCUCCCUCUAUGCCAAUAAAUAGGUCCUCCUCGAAAAUCUCGGAUCGCCCUCCCCGAAACCCUAAAAAUCAUCUCUCUCCGCGCCAGACGUGUCCGUCCGCCGCCGGACAUGCCGCGCCGCCACCCGCGGCCACUUGCAGAGCGCCACGUGGCGCGCCGCCACCUCCUCCCGCUGAAGCCCGCUCGGCCCGNNNNNNNNNNNNNNNNNNNNNNNNNNNNNNNNNNNNNNNNNNNNNNNNNNNNNNNNNNNNNNNNNNNNNNNNNNNNNNNNNNNNNNNNNNNNNNNNNNNNNNNNNNNNNNNNNNNNNNNNNNNNNNNNNNNNNNNNNNNNNNNNNNNNNNNNNNNNNNNNNNNNNNNNNNNNNNNNNNNNNNNNNNNNNNNNNNNNNNNNNNNNNNNNNNNNNNNNNNNNNNNNNNNNNNNNNNNNNNNNNNNNNNNNNNNNNNNNNNNNNNNNNNNNNNNNNNNNNNNNNNNNNNNNNNNNNNNNNNNNNNNNNNNNNNNNNNNNNNNNNNNNNNNNNNNNNNNCCGCGCCGCCCUCUCCAUCGCCCGGAUCCGCCGCUGCCCGGCCUUCCCGGCCCUUCCCCUCGCCGGCUCGGCCACCAACGAGCUCGCCGGAGCUACAGUGCCCGCCGCCGCCUCGGUUCACGCGCCGGUCAAACCCUAGAUCUGAGGGUUGUUUUUUUUCUGUCCCUGAUAUUUUCAGUCCAAGUGCUCAUGUUCACGGCUCCGUAACUUUGCAUCCGUAGCUCCGAUUCAUGCAUAUAGCAUAUCAAAAUAUUCAUCUCAGAGAGUACAUCAUUUCAUUCCAUUGCAUCAUUUUCAGUUGAGUUCAUCUUGAUGCCCGAACUGCUGUUAGAAGAGGGCUACUUGAGUUAAUUUUCAGAUCUGCUACUCCAUUUAGGUUUUUGUCAUUUUUGCCAUGAUUAAUGUGUGCAUGAUAUGCCCUGAUGCUCUACAUAUGUUUUGUUAAGGGUUUUGUCAUCUUUCCAGAGGUGCAACCCAUGUAUUUUUGUGAUGUGUGUGGUGACUUGUGCAAGCUUGCAAAGUGGUGCACUUGCUAAUUCUGUUUUCAGGGACUUAGCAAAUCCACUAAGUCCUUGAUCUGUUUAUCUCGUGUUGUCAUAUGUUCAUGUUGUUUCCUAGUGAUCCGUGCCUCUUUUGAGGAUGAUCAGUAAGGAUGUUUUGUUAAUAUUGUAGUGCUCUAUACAUCCGUGUCUUUGUUUGCAAUUAUGGAACACCCUAGCUUGAGUCAAUCGAGCUCUACUUUUGCUACUUUGUGAAUCUGGGCAGAUUGUCAACUUGUUUGCAAUUUUGUCGGUGAUGUUGUAGUUGAUCCAUGCAUGCUAUGCUAUUGUUCUUGCCAUGUCUAGAUUGCAUUUUGUGCCUUAUUGAUGGUGUAUGCUUGUAUUGCCAUGACUUGCACCGUAGUGAGUGCGUCAAGGUCGUAAACAUGCCUACUUGAGUUAUAUUUUAGCAUGUGUCAGUUUUUCACUAAGUCUGAAAACUGAUUAUGUUUUUGCUAUGUUCACAUGCUUGCAAUUGUAUUUUCUGAUCCCUUUUGGCUCAAGGUCACUAAGGGACUUUUGUUAAGCUCUUUGAGUAGCUCCAUGCCAUGCUUUACUUUGCCAUGUUCAAGUCCUGUAACAUGUAGUUUUGUGGCUCCAAAGAGUGCUACCUGAUCUGAAAUUCCAGACAAGUGUUAAUUUCACUAAGUCUGAGAUCUGUUUGCCAUAUGCAUUUUUGCCAUGCUUGUUUGAACCUGUUAAUGGAGGAAUUGGCCGUAGCUCAGUGCUAGACUUUUGUUAAGAAUCUUGUGUGCAUCCCUGCCAUGUAUUUUGUUGUCUUGUUUGGGUGCUAUAGCAUGUUCAUCUCAUUGCAUUUAGAUGCCUACUUGCUGUAAAUCGCAGACCGGUGUCAUUUUUGAAUCGCUUGCCAUUUCCAAACCGUAACUUCGAUUCCAGCGUUCUUUAUAUCGUUUUCAAGCGAUUUCAUCUCAUCUUUCCAGUGGCACACUUGGAUUUCCAAGUUGAGGACAGGUUCUUGAAUUUCCUGUCAUAUCUUGCAUUUUGCAUCCCGCAUCGCAUUCCGCAUAGCAUAUCAUCAUUGCAUCAUAUUGCUUGGUCUUGCACGUGGUUGAUUGUAUCCUUGUUGCUUGUUUGUCUUGUUUGGGUAGAGACGGGAGACGAGUUCGCUAACAAGGAUCCCGUUGAGUUUGCUUUCGAGGAUCCAGUCAACUCUGACAACUGUGCAGGCAGGAUGAUCAUACCCUCGAAAUCACUACUAUCUUUGCUAUGCUAGUUUGCUCGCUCUUUUGCUAUGCCAUUGCUACGAUGCCUACCACUUGCUUUCAAGCUUCCCAAAUUGCCAUGUCAAACCUCUAACCCACCAUGUCCUAGCAAACCAUUGAUUGGCUAUGUUACCGCUUUGCUCAGCCCCUCUUAUAGCGUUGCUAGUUGCAGGUGAAGAUUGAAGGUCGUUCCUUGUUGGAACCUUUAUUUACUUGUUGGGAUAUCAUUAUAUUAUCUUGCUAUCUUAAUGCAUCUAUAUACUUGGUAAAGGGUGGAAGGCUCGGCCUCUCGCCUAGUGUUUUGUUCCACUCUUGCCGCCCUAGUUUCCGUCAUAUCGAUGUUAUGUUCCCGGAUUUUGCGUUCCUUACGCGGUUGGGUUAUAAUGGGAACGCCUUGAUAUUUCGCCUUGAUUAAAGCUUUUCCAGCAAUGCCCAACAUUGGUCUUACCAUUUUCCACCUAGCCUCUUUUUCCCUUGGGUUUCCGGAGCCCGAGGGUCAUCUUAUUUUAACCCCCCCCCCAGGCCAGUGCUCCUCUGAGUGUUGGUCCGACCGAGUAGACUGCGGGGCCACCUCGGGGCAACUUGAGGGUUGGUUUUACUCGUAGGAUGUCUCAUCUAAGUGUGCCCUGAGAACGAGAUAUGUGCAGCUCCUAUCGAGAUUUGUCGGCACAUUCGGGCGGUGUUGCUAGUCUUGUUUUAACCUGUCGAAGUGUCUUGAGUAACCGAGAUACCAAGUCUGAUCGAAACGUCUUGGGAGGAGGUCUAUUCCUUCAUUGACCGUGAGAGCUUGUCAUGGGCUAAGUUGGGACUCCCCUGCAGGGAUUGAACUUUCGAAAGCCGUGCCCGCGGUUAUGGGCAGAUGGGAAUUUGUUAAUGUCCGGUUGUAGAUAACUUGAACCUUAACUUAACUAAAAUGAAUCAACUGAGUGUGUUACCGUGAUGGCCUCUUCUCGGCGGAGUCUGGGGAGUGGACACGGUGUGGGGUAAUAUUUGCGCAGGUUGUCCUCUAGUUUCUCGCUCGUGCUUUGCCCCCUCUUCUUGCUCUCUUUUGCAAAUAAGUUAGCCACCAUAUAUGCUAGUCGCUUGCUGCAGCUCCACAUAUUUUUACCUUGCCUUACCUAUAAGCUUAAAUAGUCUUGAGCGCGAGGGUGCGAGAUUGCUGAGUCCCUGUGGCUCACAGAUUACUAUUACACCAGAUGCAGGGCCUGAUGAUUCCGCUCCAGGAGACGCGUAUGAGCUCAAGUGGGAGUUCGACGAAGACUCUCAACGUUACUAUGUUUCUUUUCCCGAUGAUCAGUAGUGGUGCCCAGUUGGGGGUGAUUAGGACCGUGUCGCAUGUUGGGUUAUCUUUUAUUUUGGUGCCGUAGUCGGGCCAUGAGUGUUUGGAUGAUGUAAUGUUAUUUAUGUACUUGAUUGACGUGGCGAGUGUAAGCCAACUAUGUUAUCUCCCCCUUAUGAUUUAUAUUACAUGGGAUGUUGUGAAGAUUGCCUAACUUGCGACAUAUGCCUUCAAUGCGAUUAUGCCUCUAAGUCGUGCCUCGACACGUGGGAGAUAUAGUCGCAUCGAGGGUGUUACAGAGGGCCCGGUCAGGGUCCUCCGAUUGUGGAGGUGGGCUGUUGACCUCCCUUAUAGCUUUUCGCAGUUCCUGCCAUGAAACAACAAGGUGAGUAUUUAUGACGAAGAAUGCGGGAAGGUUGGGAGUAAAAAGUGAUAGCUCACCCAGUUGGAGGGUUGUACAUGGAGAAUCCAUCCCAUGGCUUAAGACGGAUGAACUCCUCUUCCUCUCCCUUGAACAAAUCAGACAGAAUUUUUGCUAGAGCAGCAACUGAGUCCGGUCCCUUACGCCCGUAGCGGAUGGCAUCAUCUUCCCGUUAAAGUGCCACAUGGGGUGCCCUCGAUAUUGAAGUGGCUGCACCCCCCGCAUUAUACAUAUUGACAUAACCUCGAUUAUUGUCAGUCCUGAUUGAGGCAGCACUUUUAUCCGGCCCAUCAGGUAAAGGACUUCUCUGUUAUCUUCCUCUUGAGGGCUCUGUGGGCGCCAGCUUCGGCGUUUCUUCAAAGGGGCAUUAUCGAACUCGGGAAGACCCAUCCGAAUAGGAUCUGGAAGGGGGACAUCCUCCAUGUAAAACUACUCCGAAGGCCAGUCUUCGGACGUCUUCUUCGGGGUACCGGACAGGUAUCCGGUCCCGGUGAUGCGCCAUAUUUUGGCUCCGCCCACUUGAUAUAUUGACCCCUUCUGUGUACGUGGCACUAGGCAGAAUAGCCUCUUCCAUAGCUCGAAAUGAGCUUCGCAGCCCAGAAACAGCUCACAAAGGGUAACAUAACCAGCGAUGUGUAAUAUGGAAGUGGGGGUGAAAUUAUGCAACUGGAGGCCAUAAAACUCUAGGAUCCCACGGAGGAAUGGAUGGAUUGGAAAUCCAAGUCCCCUUAGUAAAUGAGGGACAAGGCAUACCCGCUCCCCCUUGGAGGGAUUGGGGAAGCUCUCCGCUUGCUCCCCGCCAUUAUAUGUGGCGAGCCCGGCUUGAACGGGGACCAUAUGCGCUGGAGGGAGAAAUCCCUGGGUCUGUAACUCUACUAAUUGGGUGUGUGGGACGGAACACUUCUCCCAAUCACCGGGCUUAGGGCUACGGGAGCGAGAGGAGGAGCUGCGAUGGCCGGCCAUGUUGGAAUGGAUUCUUCCGAGCGCGCUCCGAUGGAUACUGGCUGUGGGAGGAUGGUGUGGUCUGGAUCUAAGAAUCCUCGUCUCUUUAAUAGACAGUUUAUUUACAUGGCUAGGGUGGAAAAUGUGAAAAUGCCCUGGCUCCUCGCAUUCGCUCGACACGUGGAAGAUAGCCCUUACUGGGCGCGGAAGCCAAGAAGUGCAACAUUUAUGGGGAGCCGGACACUACUCAGCAGUUAUUCAGAAUUUGGAGAAGAACCCGCCUUGCAAUGCCGAAGACAAUUUGCACGCCAGACUCAUCGUCAUUGAAGCCUGGUUCGGGGGCUACUGAGGGAGUCCUGGAUUUGGGGGUCUCCUGACAGUCGGACUAUAUCCUUUCGCCGGACUGUUGGACUAUGAAGAUACAAGAUUGAAGACUUCUUCCCGUGUCCGGAUGGGACUCUCCUUGGCGUGGAAGGCAAGCUUGGCAAUACGGAUAUGUAGAUCUCCUUCCUUGAAACUGACUCUAUGUAACCCUAGCCCCCUCCAGUGUCUAUAUAAACCGAAGGGUUUAGUUCGUAGGACAACAACAAUCAUACCAUAGGCUAGCUUCUAGGGUUUAGCCUCUAUGAUCUCGUGAUAGAUCAACUCUUGUAAUACUCAUAUCAUCAAGAUCAAUCAAGCAGGAAGUAGGGUAUUACCUCCAUCGAGAGGGCCCGAACAUGGGUAAACAUCGUGCCUCCCGCCUCCUGUUACGAACCGCCUUAGACGCACAGUUCGGGACCCCCUACUUGAGAUCCACCGGUUUUGACACCGACAUAGGCCACAUUAUAUUAAUGCACACACCAAAUUACAGCAUGCAUGGCACCUCUUAGAAGAAUUGCAGAGAUAGCACAAAGGGGUUUACAGGGAGGAAGUAUUGGAUUAGAAUCACUUCUGCAUUACAAAGAUAAUCUCACUUAUUUUUAUGUUUUCAUGCAUGUCAGGUAUUGAACAUUAUCAAAAUGAAUAUGAGAAUGGGCGCACGAGAGGAAUAUUACGGAACAAUCCACUGGCUAACAAACUUGGCAUGGUGGAGGAUGGCCUAUCUUAUUCACCCAUCAAGGUGCAUGCUCUAACUUGGCAAGGUUGUAUUGGUCGCACAUAUUUUGCAUCUGACCUCUUGCAUUACUUCUACUUUGUUACACCAUCUGCUUAGUUUAAGCAUCAUAUAUGAGUAUAUGCCAUACCUAUCCAUUUUUUGUACCUAUUCCAUGUGUCUCCAUACUAUGUUUUUCCAGUCAAAUGUUGUUCUUUCGUAAUACAUGUCCAAAAGGAAGAGGGUAAGUGCAGAUCCUCAAGGAGUACAAACUAGGUAUUUGGAAAAGGUAGUGAUACCUGUUAAAUCAAAUAGAUCAGCAGCCACAGAAAACACAGGCCCAACUGUACCAGACUUUACCCCUGCUCCAGUGGCCAAACCCCUAUUAGAACUGCUGAGAGCCCAGCGUCAGGUACUGUCUAUGAUAUCAAUUCAAAAUUUGAACUCCUAAAUUUCUACAUGUGCCUUACCUUCUCUCUUGUAUGAAAGCUAAUUUCAGAUGAAUCUCCUUGCUCAAAGGAUCAUAGGAUCUCACGACAAUACUGGGCUCUGUAUUGCUCUUGUCGGUACCUCUUGCCCUUUGCUAGCAUACUUACACUCAUUGCUAUUUGAUUAUGUAGCAUCACUGUAAAUGUUCGCUUCUUUAUCCUCCCUUUGCUUGAAAUUAUAAUAUCUAUAUUUACUCUUAGAUAAAUGUAGAAUUAACACAAUGGUUAUGAAGUUUUGGAUUGCUCAUGUAAGUACCUGUUGUCAUGUACUCCCUCUGUAUCGAAUUAAUUGUUGAUUAAUUGGAUGUAUUUGGAACUUAAUAUUGCUAGAUACAUCCAUUUCAGCGACAAGUAAUAACGGACGGUGAUGGUAUUACUGUACAUGCAUCGCGAGAUAGUUGAUUGUCUAGCAUUACUCUCCAUCUUAUCUGCCCUGCCCUCCACUUUCUCCAAAUUGUCAUAUCUACAUUUACUAUUACCAAAAUGUUGAAUAAAGCCAAUGCCACUGCACACGUUGAUGUCUGCAUUCCUCUUGUUAGUACCUUUUGCCUUGUAACGUUGUACUUAAUUAGUUGCUAUUUGAUUAUGUAUCAUCAGUCUGCACCUGAGCUUCAUUAUCCUAUAUUUCUUCCAAUAUUAUUUGAUCUAUAUUUACUCUUUGCAAAAUGUAGAAUAAUGUAACGCUUAUAAAGAAUUUUCUUUGUGGAAUUUAUUGAAUUAUCCUUCCAUCAACAUGGAGAAGGGCUUUGUCCAGCCCGUGUUAACAUGUAAUGUAAGUUCAUCCUUCUCAAGCCUUCAAUUUUUUUUCUAGUAUAGAUUUGGAUAGGCAUCAUUUCCCCCACUGCUGUUUACAUCUGAUUGGAUGUUUGCAAAAACUACCGGUUUUAAAUUAUAGUUGUAAAAACAUGUUCCUUAUGCAGAACAGAUCCAUUUAUUUGCUUAUAUAAUUGUGAAACCAGUUACGUGUCUCCUUGUUUCUCUUUCAGAGUCGUAUCUCUUAUGCCAGGUGGGACUUUAGGAAAGAUAGUGAGCCAAACCAUCUUGAGGAGAGCGAGAUGACCCCAAGGUCCUGUCUUGAUGAAGAUAGUGAGUUGAAGCUACUCACCAGCACGCGUGAGACAACCUCUGUGCAGUCACUGCCUCAAUCAGUUUGACUUCUUCAGUCUCAACUUAAAGUGGAAAGGCUUGCUUCAGCUCAGCUCCGACUUAAAGCCAAAGAUGUAAUGAAGAUGUUAGGGGACUGCCUUGCGCACUAUGGUGCCAUACAGCUAGGGAUGAAGCAUCUGUCAUUGACAAAACUGAGGUCUCAUCAGCUUGUUCGGCUGCUUGCGGGCCCGACCUUGCCAGGUCUAUUGCCUUCUGAAGUGCUCUCAGUUUUGUAUAUUCUUUUGUCGGCGCGUUUAUAUGCACUAGUGGCGACCAUUGAUGCACAGUGUAUGUAAUUCGCAAUCAUGUUGCGCUUUAUGAUCACCGGUAGCGAACUUUGAUUCCUAGUGGAUGUAACAGGUCGUAAUUUCUUUAUUGUAUAGUCUAGCUUUAUUCUUUGGUCGGUAUGUUGUAAUAUAGGCCGGAAGGUUCAGUGGAUCUUAGUGUUGUCGGUCUUUAGGCUGGCCCGUUACUCAUAUGGGCCAAAACAUGGGCCUAUAAUCAUCUUGGGCCAUUAGCAGGUCUAAACCUAUAUUUACUGUAGUGACACUCGGCCUCCUACGGGCCAUAGAAACAAUGGGCCUUCUACGGGUCGUAGAAACAAUGGGCCUUCUACAGGCCGUAGAAACAAUGGGCCUUAUAUGGGCCAUAUGAUCGAUUGGCCAAAUAUGGGCCAAAAGCAGACGCAUUAUGGCCGUAAACGGGCUAGAGUUGGAGUCGUUCGUUCAUGGGCCGACCAUAAUGGGCCGUCGUUAAUAGGCUGUAUUUGAUGAUGCUAUGAAAAUGGACCAACAUAUUAACGGGCCACAAAUGGGCCGACUGUAACCACGGGCUGAAUUUGGCCCACAAGCAGAAAAUUGCAGUAACAGGCCGUAAGUAACCGAAUGCUGGAAAUGAGCCCAAGAAUAAAUGGGCCCUGAGAAGGCCGAAAGAUAACAUGGGCUGCAAACGACCCAAUGGAUUAAUGGGUCGUUAAUGGGUAUAAAGUGAUACACUGUUCAUUACGGGCCAGUUUCACCACGGGCCGUUAAUGGGCCAAGAGUUACAAAGGGCCUCAUAUGGGCCGAAAGAUGUCAUGGGCCAUACAUGGGCCAGAACUUAAAAUGGGCUGGAAUCAUAUUGGACGGCCCAGAUGACGCUAUUGGGCCUAAUUCGGAUAGGUCGUAACGGGCCUCGGGUUAGCGAGCUAUAAAUGGGCUAUAUGCGAACAAGCCAUUAACAGGCUUUCCUUGGGCCGGCCCGCCACCUUUUGACCAAGUCAAACGGGCCGGCCUUUCAACAGGAAUGGUCCAUUGUUCAGACGUGCCACAUGUUGACGUAUCAUAGGCGCCUUCGGUCCAAUGAGUGGAUGACAUCUAUCCCAACGGUGAGCCGACACGUGUUUCCUCCAGCCAAUGAUGAUUGUACACGUGGAAAAUCCCCACUGGUCGGGGCUGUUAGCGGGUUAUCGGAUCCAAAACCGGACCCGAUAGCUUAACGAUGUUCCAUUACGGUGGAUGCCACAUGUCGGUCACCCUUGACGAAAGCACUUCUGUGACGCAUGAUUAAUCAUCAUGGAAGUGGACAGUUCCGUGAUGAUAAUUUUGGUAAUGUCAUGGAACACUUCUAUGACAGCACAGGUAUGACUACCUUGAUUCUGUCAUAAAAUCGUCAUGGAUGUACAUGCAUGACAAAAAAUGUGACCUACUGUGACAAACAUGUAUCAUCACGAAAGUGUAUUUUUUGUAGUGUUGAUGACCCAUAAGUAUAUGCGAUCGAUUGUAGCUCUUUUCGAUAAGUAAGAGUGUCGACCCAACGAGGAGCAGAAGGAAAUGACAAGUAGUUUUUAACAAGGUAAUGUCUGCAAGUGCUGAAAUUGUAAGUAACAGAGUAGUUUGAUAGCAAGAUAAUUUGUAACGAUCAAGCAACGAUGAUAGUAGCAAAAGUGCAGCAAGGUAGCCCAAUCCUUCUGAGGCAAAGGACAGGCCAAAACGGUCUCUUAUAGUAAGCAAAGCGUUCUAGAGGGUACACGGGAAUUUCAUCUAGUCACUUUCAUCAUGUUGAUUCGAUUCAUGUUCGCUACUUUGAUAAUUUGAUAUUUGGGUGGACAGGUGCUUAGGUGAUGUUCUUACUUGAACAAACCUCCUACUUAUGAUUAACCCCCUCGCAAGCAUCCGUAACUACGAGAAAAGUAUUAAGGAUAAAUCCUAACCAUAGCAUUAAACUUUUGGAUCCAAUCGGCCCCUUAUGGAAUAGUGCAUAAACUAGCGUUUAAGCUUCUGUCACUCUCGCAACCCAUCAUAUAAUAACUACUCCACAAUCAAUUCCCUUAGGCCAAAAUAUGGUGAAGUGUCAUGUAGUCGACGUUCACAUGACACCACUAAGGGAAUCACAACAUACAUACUAUCAAAAUAUCGAACACAUAUCAAGUUCACAUGAUUACUUUCAACAUGAUUUCUCCCGUGACCUCAAGAACAAAAGUAAAUACUCACAAGUGAUAAACAUGCUCAAGACCAUAGGAGUAUUAAAUAGCAUAAUGGAUCUUAACAUAUAAUCUUCCACCAAAUAAACCAUAUAGUAAUCAACUACAAGAUAUAAUCAACACUACUAGUCACCCACAAGCACCAAUCUAUAGUUCCGGUACAAAGAUUGAACACAAGAGAUGAACUAGGGUUUGAGAGGAGAUGGUGCUAUUGAAGAUGUUGAUGGAGAUUGCCCUCCCCAAGAUGGGAGAUUUGUUGGUGAUGAUGAUGACGAUGAUUUCCCCCUCUGGGAGGGAAGUCCCCCCGGCGGAAUCGCAUCGCCAGAGGGAAAAAGUGCUCCUGCUCAAGUUCCGCCUUGAGACAGCGGCGCCCAGUCCCGAAAGUCCUCUCUUGAUUUUUUUCUAGAUCAAAAUGACUUAUAUACCAGAAGAUGGACGCCUGAGGUGGGCCGAGGGGGCACAACCCACCAAGGCGCGCAUGGGCUCCCUGGCAUACCCAGGUGGGUUGUGCCCACCUGGUGGGCCCCCUCUGGUACUUAUUGGCUGCAAUAUUCCUCAUAUAUUCCAUAAAAAAUCACCGUAAAGUUUCAGCUUGUUUGGUGUUGUGCAGAAUAGGUAACCCGGCAUAGCUUUUCCAGGUCCAGAUUUCCAGCUGCUGAAAUUCUCCCUCUUUGUCUAUACCUUGCAUAUUAUGAGAUAAAAUGCAUUAGAAUUACUCCAAAAAGCAUUAUUAUGCAUAAAAACAUCAUAAAUAACAGUAGAAAAAUAUGAUGCAAAAUGGACGUAUCAAUCGGCAGCCAACCAGCUGGGUCGGAACAGAGGAAACCACGUCGUGUUCAUCGAGAGGCAAGCGGCUGGGUUGGAAUGCGUCAUAUUCAUUGGGAGCCAACCGACUUGGACGGAACAGCCCAAACCGGGUCAUGUUCAUUGACUCGGGGUCUCGCAUCCUGUAAAAUGGUGGAAACAAAGUUCUCUUUGACCGCCUACGGUCAAAAUGGGGUCAUGUCCAUCCGGAGGGAUCUUCCAUACCACAAAACAGAAGAAACAGACUUCUCUCCAAGUGCGUAUGGUCGAAAUGGGGUCCUAUUCAUCGGGAGGGCUUUGGCGUACCGCUAAACAGAGGAAUGACCUUCUCUCAACCACCUAUGGUCGAAACAGGGUCCUGUUCAUCGGAGGGGUGUGUGGCGUCCGCAAAACGGGACUCCACAGGCUACUGUUCAUCCACCCUCCAUGGGGUUUUGGUCAUCCAGCGGCAACCGCAUACUACCACGGGGUCCUGUUCAUCCAGCACAACCGCGUACUACCACGGGGUCCUGUUCAUCCAGCGGCAACUACCUACACACAGUCGGGGUCCUGUUCAUCCAACCCCCACCGAGAAUUGUUCAUCCACAGCUAACCCAACCGGCUUGACUCACCACAUCUCGACUCAUUCUACGUAUCGCGUGCGCGGCAGCAAUGGGCUUUGUUCAUCCAGAGGCAACCAAACCAGCUAGCUAAGUCUCGCACGGGGGUUCCGAUCUGCUUCAGUAAUUAAGCAGCAGCAGCGAUCGAUCGGGUUCAGUUAGCAGCGAAGGAGUCGAUCGGGUUCAGUUAGCAGUGAAGGGAUCGAUCAAUCGGCUUCAGUACGUACCAGCACGCGACCACUCGGGUUCAAUAAAGUGAAAUCCUCUCGCUCGGGAUCAGUUAUAGCAACACGGCUUGCACCACGUGCGCGUACGAGAGAAAAGCGCAAACCACAGUGCAUCGCUCGGCCCCGACCAACCCACCGUAACCGGGAAUUCCGCAAAAGUUUCCUCGCCCUCACUUCUACCAUGAUUUUUUAUUUCAUGGACGACCCAAAGAAUGUCAUGCAGCUGCGUCCCUGGCCCGCCCAAGAUGAAAAGCCCAUUUUCUGUCAUGAUUUUUUGUCAUAGAAGUAGGAUCCCACAACAUCUAUGAUGAUACGUGCUUUUGUCUCGUCAUAGAAGUGUCAUAAGCAUGACAAAAAAAAUCGUUCGGCCCAUAAUGUCACAGAUGUGUCUUUUUUAUAGUGUAUGCUAUUUUGUGUUAUUUUGGGGGUAACUUAUUAACCUAAAUCCCAAUGCUAGUUUUCGUUUUUCCCCAGUUUUGAGUUUUAUAGAAAAGGAACAUCAAACGGGUCCAAACGGAAUAAAACUUUCGCGAUGAAUUUUAUUGGACCAGAAGACAUCCACGGAGCUUGGAGAGGGGACAGAAGAGUCCCUAGGGCUCCACAAGCCCUCAAGGCGCACCCUAGGGGGGCACCCCUGGCUUAUGGGCCCCACGAGACUCCUCCAACCCUAAUUUUUGCUCUAUAAAUUCCCAAAUAUUCCCAAAUGACGAGAAGCGUCUACCAAAAUACUUUUACGCUGCCGCAAGCCUCUAUUCCCGUGAGGUCCCAUCUUGAGGCCUUUUCUGGCACGCUGCCGGAGGGGGGUUCGAUCACGGAGGGCAUCUACAUCAACUCUAUUGCCCUUCUGAUGAAGCGUGAUUAGUUUACCAUAGACCUACAGGUCCAUAGCUACUAGCUAGAUGGCUUCUUCUCUCUCUAUGAUCUUCAAUACCAUGUUCUCCUUUAUGUUCUUGGAGUCCUAUCCAAUGUAAUAUUCUUUUUGCGGUGUGUUUGUUAAGAACCGAUGAAUUGUGGAUUUAUGAUCAAAUUAUAUAUGAAUAUUAUUUGAGUCUUUUCUGAAUUCUUAUAUGCAUGAUCAAAUAUCUUUGUUUUUCUCUUUGAAUUAUUGGUUUGGUUUGGCCAACUAGAUUGGUUCUUCUUGUAAUGGGAGAGGUGCUUAGUUUUGGGUUCAAUCUUGCGGUGUCCUCACCCAGUCAAAUAGUAGGGGUAGCGAGGCACGUAUUGUAUUGUUGCCAUCAAGGUUAAAAAGACGGGGUUUUCAUCAUAUUGCUUGAGUUUAUCCCUCUACAUCAUGUCAUCUACUUAAGGCGUUCCUCCGUUCUUAUGAACCUAAUACUCUAGAUGCAUGCUGGAUAGCGGUUGAUGUGUGGAGUAAUAGUAGUAGAUGCAGGCAGGAAUCGGUCUACUUGACACGGACGUGAUGCAUAUAUCAUGAUCAAUGCCUUGGGUAUCAUCAUAACUUUGCGAUUUUCUAUCAAUUGCUCGACACUCAUUUGUUCACCCAUCAUAUUAUUUUCUUUCAAGAGAGGAGCCUCUAGUGAAACCUAUGGCCGUCGGGUCUAUUUUCCAUCAUAUAUUUUCAUAUCUAUAAACCAAAAAACCUAAAAAUACUUUGCUGUAAUUUAUUUGUUUUUACUUUUUUUACGUUUUAGUAAUAUUUUGUAUCUAUCUCUAUCAGAUCUCAUCCUUGCAAGUGACCAUGAAGGGAUUGACAACCCCUUUACCGCAUUGGAUGCAAGUGUUUGAUUGUUUGUGCAGGUGCAUAGAUUGGAGACUUGCGUGUACCUCCUACUGGAUUAAUACCUUGGUUCUCAAAACUAAGGAAAAUAAUUAUCUCUACUUUGCUGCAUCACCCUUUCCUCUUCAAUGGAAAAACCAACGCAAGCUCAAGAAGUAGCAGGAAGAAUUUCUAGCGCUGUUGCCGGGGAGGUUCUACACCAAGCCUACCAAAUACCCAUCAUAAACUCCCAUCUCAUGCAUUACAUUAUUUUCCAGUUGCCUCUUGUUUUCCUCUCCCCCACUUCUAAAACAUUUCUAGAAAAACACAAAAAUAUUUUCCUUUUUAUUCGCCCUUCUUUCGUUCACCCUUAUGUCUUACUUGGUUUGUUUGCUCGUUUACCUGGUAUAAUUGUGUGUUUAUUGAAAAUCAGAAGCAAAGAGUUUAUGGAUCCUCAUCCACAUGCUAAUCCUUUUAACAUAUCCAACUAUUAUAAACCAAUUGCUAGUGAGUUGAGUGCACUAGAUUAUCUUUAUGAAGUUUUUCUCGAAAUCCUUUAAUCUGAAAAUUGUGAUGAAGUGCCUUAUGAAGUGAAUCAUGAUAGAUCCUUGAGUAAAAAGCAUGAUUGCAAUGAUGUUAUUCUAAAUUCUAUUAAUGUCAAUAGUGCUAAUAAUAUGCCAAACCCUAAGCUUGGGGAUGGUAAUUUUGUUAUGUCCAUUACUUAUUGUAAUGAUCAUGAUUGGGGUGAUAAUGCUUCUUAUGAUCUUCAAAAUUUAUUUAAGCCUCAUGAUAAUAAUGUUUGCUAUAAUAUUGAAAGUGGGUUUGGAAGAGUGUCAACUUUAGGAAAUAGUGAUCCCACUACUUUGGAGAUUGAUCAAUCUUAUGAAAUUUUUGACAAAAGUGGGCUUGGAGAAGUAUCGACUUUAUUCUAUGUUAAUCCCAUUAUUUUGGAAGAGUGUCAACUUUGCAUGCAUGUGGAUUAUGAAGAGAAUAUUUUAUGUGAUAGCUAUAUUGUUGAAUUUGAAUAUGAUCCCACAUGUAAUUAUUAUGAGAGAGGGGAAUAUUGUUGUAGAAAUUUUCAUGUUACUAAAUUCCCUCUAUUCAUGUUGAGAUUGUCAAUGUUUUAUUCUGCUUCCUUCCAUAUGCUAAUUUUUGCUAGUUUUAAGAAUUUGAUUGCUCAUAAAAUGCCUAUGCAUAUGUAACAUCCCAAAUUUUCAAUUUGGAAUGUUAUACAUAGGUCAUCAUAUGCAUAUCAUAUUUUUAAUUGCAUUUUUGGUUUUUGAUCCUAGAAAUUCUAAGCAACUCAAGGACCCACGGAGAGAGUUGGGGAUUUCAUUUAUUUUCAUAUUUGAAUUUUCCUCAAAUAUUGAAAAGAGGAUCAAUUUGGUUCUAAUUAUUUUUCUCUCCGAAAAUAUUUCCAAUACAAAAUUAAAGAGAAGGGAUAAUAUGACUUCUUCGAAAUAAAAUAAACAUUGGAGGAAAAAUAUUUAAAAUCAAAUAAAUAUUUUAUUUGGAUUUUAUUUGUUAUUUUAUUUGAAUGAGAAAAUAUGCAUUUUUCAAAAUUUGCAUUUUUAGGCCAAGAAAAUGUUCACUAUGUUCUAAAUAUUUUUAUUUAGACGAUGAAAAUUGUUUUGGCAUUUUUAGAUUUUUUUUUAUAUUUAUUUAGGAUUUUUUCCCUUUCGGUGGAAUUGUUUAAGAAAAGACACCCGGACCGAACUGGGCCGAGGCCCAGCCGGCCCGCUCGCGCCACAGCCUCCCUCGCGCCGCGCCGUCGCCGGCACGAACGCCGAGGCAGAGUCCGGACCAGACUCCACCUCGGGUCGGCCCCCUCCCCAAGUCAACCCCCCCNNNNNNNNNNNNNNNNNNNNNNNNNNNNNNNNNNNNNNNNNNNNNNNNNNNNNNNNNNNNNNNNNNNNNNNNNNNNNNNNNNNNNNNNNNNNNNNNNNNNNNNNNNNNNNNNNNNNNNNNNNNNNNNNNNNNNNNNNNNNNNNNNNNNNNNNNNNNNNNNNNNNNNNNNNNNNNNNNNNNNNNNNNNNNNNNNNNNNNNNNNNNNNNNNCGCUGGUUUUCGCCCGAGAACCGAUAAUAAACUCGCAAAGCCGCCGCCGUUUUUUAAACCCUAGAUCGGUUUUUUAGAUCGGUUCGGUUUUUCUCCGAUUUUCUCGGCUUAGGUUAUUCAACGAACGUUCGUUCGUUAGUUUGUUUUAAUGAACACUUUUCGCCCGUUCGUCUCUGUUAACAAACGUUCGCACCGUAGUAUUUUUCUUUUUAUUUUAUUUUUGGCCAGGGAUCUAUCCACGAUUAUUUUUAUCGCGGAUUAGCCCCUGAUCUUCAAACCCUCGCAACUUUUUAACCGUUCGUCCAAAUCCAGUGAAACCAACGCCAAAAUCUCCGUCUCGAGCCCCUCUUUCCAAUAGUGAAGGAUUACCCUGGUGUAUUUCCAGAGGAGCUACCAGGAAUGCCGCUGGAUCGAGACAUUGAGUUUUUGAUCAAGCUGUUGCCAGGCACUAGACCAAUAUCAAAGAGACCAUACCGGAUGCCCACAAAUGAUCUGGAAGAGAUUAAGAAGCGGAUUAAGGAGUUAUUGGAGAAAGGUUACAUUCGACGAUGUUCGUCACCGUGGGGAGCACCAGUACUUUUGGUUGAGAAGAAGGAUGGAUCUUUGAGAAUGGUUGUUGAUUAUCGUGCACUAAAUGAAGUGACGAUCAAGAACAAGUGCCCACUGUUGAUGAUCAAUGAUUUGUUUGAUCAGUUGCAAGGAGCUAAAGUAUUCUCCAAGAUCGAUCUAUGAUCAGGAUACCACUAGUUGAAGAUCCGAGAACAGGAUAUAACUAAGACAGCCUUCACCACAAGGUACGCAUUAUACGAGUACACGGUUAUGUCAUUUGGAUUGACCAAUGCCCUUGCCUACUUCAUGAGUAUGAUGAAUAAGGUAUUCAUGGAGUUCUUGGAUAAGUUUGUUGUGGUAUCCAUUGAUGAUAUCUUGGUAUACUCGAAGAAUGAAGAGGAGCACAAGGAGCAUUUGCAUCUAGUUCUCGAGAAGCUCAGGGAACAUCAGUUGUAUGCUAAGUUCAGCAAGUGUGAGUUUUGGUUAAAGGAAGUUGGAUUUCUUGGCCAUGUUAUAUCAGGAGAAGGUAUAGCAGUGGAUCCUACCAAGGUUCAGUCUGUCACUGAGUGGUUGGCACCCACCUCAGUUGGAGAGAUCCGCGGUUUUCUUGGACUCGUGGGAUACUAUCGGAGAUUCAUAGAGAACUUUUCUAAGAUUGUGAAGCCCAUGACGGAGUUGCUGAAGAAAGACGCUAAGUUUAAAUGGACAGAAGAAUGUGAGGCAAGUUUUCAGGAGUUUAAGAAAAGUUUGGUUACAGCCCUAGUGCUGAUUCUGCCGAAUAUACGCAAAGAUUUCGAAGUGUAUUGCGACACUUCUCGCUUAGGACUUGAAGGUGUACUUAUGCAGGAUGGAAGAGUUGUUUCAUAUGCCUCACGUCAGCUUCGACCGCAUGAGUUGAUUUAUGCCAUGCAUGAUUUCGAGUUAGCAGCUGUAGUGCAUGCACUCAAGACCUGGAGACAUUUUCUUAUUGGAAAUUGUUGUGAUGUGUACACGGAUCAUAAGAGUUUGAAGUACAUUUUCACACAGAAGGAGCUGAAUCUCAGGCAAAGGAGAUGGUUGGAGCUUAUAAAAGAUUAUGACAUGAAGUUGCACUAUCAUCCAGGCAAGGCCAAUGUCGUAGCAGACGCUUUGAGCCGGAAGGGUUAUGCCAAUACCCUCAUAAGAGGAGGAUUACCAAAGGAGUUGGCUGAAGAUCUCAGGGAGCUACGUUUGGAGAUAGUCCCUAGAGGUUUUGUUGCAGCAUUGGAAGUUCUGUCAACAAUAUUAGGAAAGAUUUGAGAAGCUCAGAAGGAUGAUAAGGAAAUUGCUGAGAUAAAAGAGAGGAUGAGCAAAGGAAAAGCCAAAGGUUUUCGUGAGGAUGAGCACGAUACCUUAUGGUUUGAGGACCGUGUUUAUGUGCCCAAUAAUGCAGAGAUCAGGAAGUUGAUACUUCAGGAAGCUCAUGACUCGCCAUACUCGAUACACACUAGAAACACCAAAAUGUAUUUGGAUUUGAAGGAGCGUUUCUGGUGGACGGGUAUGAAGAAGGAUAUUGCCGAGUAUGUAGCCGUAUGUGAUGUAUGUCAAAGAGUGAAGGCAGAACAUCAGAAGCCAGCAGGAAUACUGCAGCCGAUGCCGAUACCUGAAUGGAAGUGGGAUAAGCUUGGCAUGGAUUUCAUCACCGGAUUUCCUAGGACCCGAUCAGGAUAUGAUUCAAUCUGGGUAGUAGUGGAUCGUUUGACCAAAGUGGCUCACUUUAUCCCAGUGAAAACCACCUAUACGAGUGGGAAGUUGGCCUAGAUAUAUAUGACCAGGAUCGUAUGUCUGCAUGGAGUUCCGAGGACCAUCGUAUCAGAUAGAGGAACACGGUUUACCUUGAAGUUUUGGAAUCAGCUGCACUAGACUUUGGGUACCACGCUAGAGUUUAGUACAACCUUUCAUCUGCAGACAUAUGGAUAGACCGAGAGAGUCAAUCAGAUUCCGAAGGACAUGUUGAGAGCUUGUGCGCUAGAUUAUGGAUCUAGUUGGGAUGAUAAUUUACCUUACGCGGAGUUCUCAUACAACAACAACUAUCGAGCCAGUUUGAAUAUGGCCCCUUUGAAGCUUUAUAUGGAAGGACGUGCCGGACACCGUUGAUGUGGGAUGAAGUUGGAGACCGUCAGUUGUUUGGACCAGAUUUGAUCAUAGAGUCCGAAGAGAAGGUUAAGUUGAUUCACGAUAGACUCAAGGUAGCUCAGUCCAGGCAAAAGAGUUAUGCAGACUCGAAACGCAAGGAGGUAGUCUAUGAAAUCGGAGACAAAGCGUAUCUUCGCGUGUCACCUCUGCGAGGAGUUAAACAUUCUGGAGUUAAGGGAAAGUUAGCCCCGAGAUUUGUAGGACCAUACCGAGUUUUGGAACGUAUGGGAGAAGUGGCCUACAAGUUGGAGUUACCUGAAGGACUGUCAGGAGUUCAUGAUGUGUUUCACGUUUCCUAGUUGAAGAAGUGCCAUGCUGAGAUAGCCGAUAUUCCUCUGAGAGAUACAGUGCCCCUGGAGGAAAUUCAGUUGGAUAGUGAUUUGACGUACUAGGAGAAACCAGCAAGAUUCUCGAGUUUGCCAACCGAGUUACACGCAGCAUGGUUAUCAAGUUUUGCAAAGUUCAGUGGAGCCACCAUACCGAGGAUGAAGCCACCUGGGAAUGAGAGGAAGACCUACGGAAAGACCACCCACACCUAUUUUCUAGCCAACCCGAAUCUCGAGGGUGAGAUUCACCUUAAGGGGGGUAGGUUUGUAACAUCCCACAUUUCAAUUUGGAAUGUUAUGCAUAGGUCAUCAUAUGCAUAUCAUAUUUUUAAUUGCAUUUUUGGUUUUUGAUCCUAGAAACUCUAAGCAACUCAAGGACCCACAGAGAGAGUUGGGGAUUUCAUUUAUUUUCAUAUUUGAAUUUUCCUCAAAUAUUGAAAAGAGGAUCAAUUUGGUUCUAAUUAUUUUUCUCUCCAAAAGUAUUUCCAAUACAAAAUUAAAGAGAGGAGAUAAUAUGACUUCUCUGAAAUAAAAGAAAUAUUGGAGGAAAAAUAUUUAAAAUCAAAUAAAUACUUUAUUUCAAUUUUAUUUGUUAUUUUAUUUGAAUUAGAAAAUAUGCAUUUUUUGAAAUUUGCAUUUUUGGGCCAAGAAAGUGUUCACUAUGUUCUAAAUAUUCUAUUUAGAUGGUGAAAAUUGUUUUUGGCAUUUUUAGAAUUUUUUUAUAUUUAUUUAGGAUUUUUCCUUUUGGCGGAAUUGUUUAAAAAAAGACUCCCGGACCGAACUGGGCCGAGGCCUAGCCGGACCGGUCGCGCCAUCGCCUCCCUCGUGCCGCACCGUCGCCGGCACGAACGCAGAGGCAGAGUCCAAGCCGGACUGCACCUCGGGCCGGCCCCCUCCCCAAGUCAACCGCCGGCCCUCCCACUAUAAAUGUUGCCGCCCCGCCCUCCUCUGCCCUCGUCCCGCCCCACCGCCGCAACCACCGCNNNNNNNNNNNNNNNNNNNNNNNNNNNNNNNNNNNNNNNNNNNNNNNNNNNNNNNNNNNNNNNNNNNNNNNNNNNNNNNNNNNNNNNNNNNNNNNNNNNNNNNNNNNNNNNNNNNNNNNNNNNNNNNNNNNNNNNNNNNNNNNNNNNNNNNNNNNNNNNNNNNNNNNNNNNNNNNNNNNNNNNNNNNNNNNNNNNNNNNNNNNNNNNNNNNNNNNNNNNNNNNNNNNNNNNNNNNNNNNNNNNNNNNNNNNNNNNNNNNNNNNNNNNNNNNNNNNNNNNNNNNNNNNNNNNNNNNNNNNNNNNNNNNNNNNNNNNNNNNNNNNNNNNNNNNNNNNNNNNNNNNNNNNNNNNNNNNNNNNNNNNNNNNNNNNNNNNNNNNNNNNNNNNNNNNNNNNNNNNNNNNNNNNNNNNNNNNNNNNNNNNNNNNNNNNNNNNNNNNNNNNNNNNNNNNNNNNNNNNNNNNNNNNNNNNNNNNNNNNNNNNNNNNNNNNNNNNNNNNNNNNNNNNNNNNNNNNNNNNNNNNNNNNNNNNNNNNNNNNNNNNNNNNNNNNNNNNNCGCCGCGCCGCCUGCUGCCCUGCCGCGUCGCGGAGCGCCGCCUCACCUCGCCACCCUGUUGACCCGCGCCGCCGCCGGAUCUCGCCGCCGCCGCCUAUUUUCGCCCGAGAACCCGUAACAAACCCGCAAAGCCGCCGCCGUUUUUUAAACCCUAGAUCGGUUUUUUUAGAUCGGUUCGGUUUUUCUCUGGUUUUCUUGGUUUAGGUUAUUCAACGAACGUUCGUUCAUUAGUUCGUUUUAACGAACACUUUUCGCCCGUUCGUCUCUGUUAACGAACGUUCGCGCCGUAGUUUUUUUCUUUUUAUUUUAUUUUCGGCCAGGGAUCUAUCCACGAUUAUUUUUAUAGUAGAUUAGCCCCUGAUCUUCAAACCCUCGCAACGUUUUAACCGUUCGUCACUACACCACGAUAGAGCUUCCGUGAGUUGUAGCUAACACCAAUGCUGACAGAAAGAUGAAAGAGUCGGAGGACUUGCUGUGAGCAAAGGUAUUGCCGACAGUUGUUUACUUCCCGACACUUUUUUAGUCGCCAUACACCCUACCUACGCCGACAGAUGGUAUGUCCACAUACACCCUACAUAUGCUGACACUUUAUAAGAGAACAUACACCCUACCUUUGCCGAUAGAUAGCGUGUCCACAUACACCCUACUUAUGCCGACACUUUAUUAGCCACAUACACCAUAUCUAUGCCAACAGAUAGUCUAUCAGACUACACCCUACCUACACCGACAGAUAUUGCCUUUUGCCGACAGAUAAAUUGCCGGUAAAGACAUGCAGCCAAAACAAUAUAUACAAGCUCUAAACAGAUGCAAUCAUUAUCCGCACAUCUAGAAGCAGGUUCAAGAUGAACACAUACUGUACAACAAUGAAAUAUAUUCACAAACGUGCAUAUGACAAACACAUCAAUCUUGACAAAGCAUAGUUUUUACCAUCUUAACAAUCAUCCAGAACACACAAGUCACAAAAAGAUAGCGCUAUUUGCUGGUAUGAGAGACUUCAACUAGAUGGUCCAGAACAUACAAGUCUGUAUCCACAUGCACAAAAUGCAAGCUCCGAAAUAACAAAACAACAAAUGGUCUAGAAGACACAUAAGAUCCAUGAUUACAAGUUGAUUGGUCCAUAAACGCCACAAAGUCAUCACGUCCAUGCACCAGUUGGCCAAGUGCCUGAAAUAUUUUC
This 61162-nucleotide long non-coding RNA is filed under the name Triticum aestivum (bread wheat). RNAcentral describes it as "long non-coding RNA (TAES_LNC001218)". Lineage: Eukaryota; Viridiplantae; Streptophyta; Magnoliopsida; Poales; Poaceae. The record is from RNAcentral.